UAAACCUUAUCGAUCAUCACUAGCACACGAGUUGAGGUUUACAACCUAUCGUGUUGACAUUAUUUUGAUUCUGUGCCAAUCCAAUCGAGUUAAUUAUGCAUGUGAGUUCUAUGAGUUCUCAUUUUGAACGCAUAAAAGGCAAAGCACCUUAAUCAAUGAAAGGUACAUUGAUAGGAAAGGGUGAGCUGCUUAACUACUUGGAAGACAUGGUGGGCAGCUGUGCUACCAUAAAGGCAAGAAAUCGAGAUCAAGAAAGUUCGAUCCAUAAGAGUUUGAAUUUGUCGUAAACUUUGGUUUUGACAAAUUCACAUGGAUAGGAACAAAUACACCGUUUAAAUCUAAGUGUCAUAAGAUUUCCUCCUUCAUGAAAAUGAUUGUGAGGAAAUGCUUUCACUAAGACAGAUUUUAAGAAGAUAGUGAUUGUAAAAUUGCAUUCUCGAAUUCAAUUAUGGUUACGGCAUCCCUUUCCAUAAUUUGAAUUGUGAGGUUUGGCAAUUAGUCUUAAUUGUUUAGACACACAUAUGAACUAUCGAAGGCAAAGGUGUAUAAGUUCAAGAAGCCUUGAUAAAAGAUUAUCAAAGCACUAAGUAUUAGAAACAUGAACUUAAGAAAUUCAAUAAGCAUUUUUUUUCUGAAAGUUAAGAUGUUUAUGAAUACAUGUCGAAGCUAGUGGGAGCAUAAGUGUUAUGUUUUAUAAUAAUCAUCAAGAUAGUGGGAGCAUAAAAGUUAUGAUUGUAUGAUUAUUAAGGAAAGUAUUGCAAGGUUAGCAAUAUUAAUUAUAGAAAACAAGAGUCAUACUUUGCAAAGUCGCAAUAGUUGAAGAGUUGUUUUGCUAUAAUUAAGGGAGAGAAUAUUAUGCUUCAUUUCAAAUCUAAAGGUUUAGGUUGAGAAAUGUUAAUAAAAUUUAGUCAAAGGUACAAAGUGUGUUCUUAAAAUUUCGAUUAUGAUUACGGCAUCCCUCUUCACAAUUCGAAUUUUGAGAACAUAGCAAAUAAAACAUUAUGCGUCGUGUCCCAUACGCUUCGGGUAUAGGAUCGAUUGCAAAUGCUUUAAUGUUUGACCAUUCUAAAAUUUUCCAAAUGUCGAGCGCAUUUAGAGGGAAAAGGGACUAGAAUUGGUUUUGACUAAAAUAAUUAAACAACUAUCAAAGGACAAUCAAAGUUCGACGAGGAUUGGUCGCUUGUGAGUAGUUGGAAGUAUAGUAUUGGAAAAUAUGGAAAUGUUUCCAUAUUGGAUGGACCAUAUCGACAUCAUUACGAAUAGAUAAGAUUCUAUUAAGAAUGAGUUGUCAUAUGGAACAUAUGGAAGUGUGUCCAUAUUGGGAAUUGAAUAUUGAGAAAUCUAUGACUAGAUUAGAAACUUCUAUGCAAAAGGAUGUUCAAAGAAUGUACUUUGAGUGAGAGACAUCACAUCUAUGGAAUUGUCUUGUAACAAUCUCCGAUAGAGGACUUUGUAAUAUCAUUGGCAAUAGUCUUUGUGACUUUGGUGCAGUGACAUUACGAAAGGAUAGUUGCAUAGAAUGUUAGAAUCUAGCAUAUUCUAUAAGUAGCAAGAAUUUGAUAUUCUUUCACUUAUGAAAAAGGAUUUGGAGUUGUGAAAUGAGAAUGAUUGGAAAUGUGUUCAAUGUGAUCUAUUUCACAAAGUAAGAACCAUAGGUAAACAUUGUGUGCAUGCUAGGAGCAUGGGACAAGUGUUGUAAUUCAAGUAAGAAGUUGAUUACCCGAAACGACAAAUAAUGAGUAAUCAAUAUGGUGAUAAAUAAAAGGUGUUUUAUUUAUACUCAAAGGUUUGAGGCCAUAUGGGAUUAGUAUUAUUCUUGUGUUUCACAUUUGCAUGUUUUGACUUCCAGAAUAAUUGAGUUUAUUAAGAAUAAUCGAAUUAUUCGAACGGGCCACAGUCGUUCAUAUGUUGGAAGUAGAUAUGAAUGAAGACUGUCGUGAAUUGGUGUGUGGAUUGUCUAAAAGAGUAUUAGACAUAAGCAAAUGUUUGCUGCAACGUUCAUGAGUGCUUAUGAAUAUGAUUUGAGCAUUGGAUUAAACCCACGCUCACUUGGAUCACUCCAUGAAUUGUAUCACGAGUGAUUGGUGAGACGAUAACAUCUUAUAUUCUUGAAACCGAGAUGUGUGAGUUGUAUCUUGCAAAUCGGUUGCACAUUGAUAAUAUGUAAACGCACCAGUAACUUGGUGUUAUAAAACAUAUUGUUGUGUGUGAUUCGGUGCGUGAGUACAAGCAAGCAUUGUAUCAAAGUUUAUCCGUUCCUUUUAUCCAAAGUAGGAUAAAAGCGAUAUCUUUGGGCCCCUCGAUGGUUUAGUGAUGACAAACGUAAAUGCUCGGCCGGGCUAGGGCUAAUUUGAUUUGUUCAAUUAGUCAGUCGUCAUAAAUCGGAAAUCGAGAUAUAGUACAAAGAGAAUGAUUUGAAAUCAUAUCUCAUAUGAUAUCUAGAAUGGAGGAAUAUAUGAUCCCUUAUCUAAGGACACGCGUAUUUGAUAUGAUCAGAGUUGACAGCGGCUUUGGAAAGCUACGAUUGCAGAUCGGGAUCUGAAGUCAUACGCAGAAUAGUUAUUAGACUUAUCCAAGUGGGAGACUGUUGGAUUAGUGUCUAAGUCCAUAACUAUUUUGGUAUGUACUUGACCCGAUGGUGCAUGGUCCUUUUGGGUUGCCUUCACCAAAGCAACUUGAUUGGAGAAAUAAAUAUAGAGAGAGAGGAUAAUAUGAUUUAUUAAUAUGUUAUAAGAAUAAUAUAUUAAAGGAGAAAUCAUAUUUGUUUAAUUAAUAUUGGUCAAUAAUUAAUUAAGAAUUAGUUUUGUGAUCAAAUGUAAUUAAUUAAACUAGAGGGGCUGAAUUGUAAUUAUGUGAUAGUUACAAAAUAAGGUAAGAAUUAUCUUAUAAGUAUGGUGAACGAAUUUAAGGUUGAAAAGCCUUAGAAUUCGAGUAUGAUAAGGAUUCAAGGAUUAUCUUAUGGGUUGCUUGGUGGAUAAGCAACUAGAUAAGGAUAAUGACUGAAACCCUAUCUCUACACCUAUAUAAACACCCCUAGGCUCAUGAAUUCGUGUAUCCCUUCCCAAGAAGUCUUAGAGACGAAUUCUAACCUCCCUCCUCUCUCUUUAUACCUUCUCCACUUGCUUAUGGUGUUUGUAAGCCAUUAGAGGAGUGACACUUGUGACUCUCAGCUUUCCAAGGUCAAUUCAAGGAGGAAUUGGAUUGUUAUUGCUAUAUAACAAUCAAGGUAUGUUCUUAAACCUAUUUACAUGUGAAUUCUGAUUUCCAUAUGCUAGAAUUAGGGUUCAAAGUCUUGGAUUCAAAGUAUGUACAAUAGAGAAACCUAGAUCCAAGUUUUAGGGUUUGUAUGAGCACAUAGGAUGUCUUAUGACCAAAACCCAUCAGUUAGCUAGUCGGUGGACUGGGGUUAAGGGAUUAAUCAGCUAGGCGGAGAUUAAUCGGGGACCAUUAAUUGCUAAUUUGUUAGAUUUUAAAAAAUUAAAUAUGACUAAUAUCAUAUAAAAGUUCGUAAAUGUCACUAAUAUCAUAACAAAAUAGAUUAAUAUGAUAAAUACAACAUGAAUCAUACCUCAAAUAGUUUUUAUUGAGAUAUAAAUUCUUCAAAGUGUUAAAAUUUCAUCAGGUUCUACUGUUUCAGUCAUUGUGUAUGCAUGGAUUAAUCGCUAGGCGCUCUCUAAUCGGUCGAGUAGCGCCUAGGGAUUAAUUGGAGAUUAAUCGGGACCUAAUCGGGAUUUUUACAACACUGUUAUUUACAUUUAUCCAACAUUAAGGUAUUCCAAAUUAAAACAUUCAUCAAAGUAAUUCCCAAAAUCAUAAGUUGCGGAAAAACAUAGGUGUGAGCGCUGCGAUCAAGUCGGGCCCUUCCCUUUCGAAUCGGAAGUACCUGAAACCAUAAACCACAAACUGUAAGCACAAAGCUUAGUGAGUUCCCCAAAAUACCACAUACCAUACAUAACCAUGAUCCAAACAUAGCAGACAUAUCCAAACAAUCAAUAAAAGUGCUAUGUGUCAACCAUAGUCUUGUCAUUAUGCCACGAGCUACCUCGUGGUCUUCCUUGUCAGGCCGGGGGCCACAACCCUGGGCCUUACCAACAAGUUCCAGGAGCCACUUUUGGGUCUUCCAUGCAAGCAUCACAAAGACAACUAGUAUACAAUCUACACUACUUAAUUAACUGCCAAAGUUCAGACUCAGGUCUUGCAUACAGUUUGCCAGGAGUCGCCUCCUGGUCUUUCAUACAAAUUGCCAAGGGUUACCCUCGGGUCUUCCUAUAAUACAUAAACCAAAUGGGCCAACAUUGCUAUCUUUGACCCAUAGAACAGUGAGGAGACUCACCUUGAAUGCAGAAGUUCACUGAAAGAAAUCCCUAGCUACUGCUGCCCUAAUGAUUCCUCCGGGCUAUCAAUACCAAGAUAACACCCAAUUAGCAAUUGGGUUCCAAACUAUGAUCCAUAAACCAUACUUGGGGUAAAAUGACCAUUUUACCCCUAACCCAACUGGAACCAAAACUGAGGCCUAAGUCCAAAAACCAUAAAGGCCCAAAACCAAAAGUUACACAAAGGCCACUAAAAUUGGGCCCAACCCAUAUGGGCCUUAUCCUAAAGCCCAAAAAUUUCCUUUUGUCCAACAUUUGAUCUUAGAUGGUCCAAAAGGCCCAAAUCAACAAAACCCAAAUAGGUAGCCCAAAACCGAAAUGACACCACAAGGCCCAAUAAGGCCCAAAUCAGCAAGACCGACAUCCAAAGUUAAGUCCAAGCCCAACAAACAAAAACUCCAUUGAUCGAACGAACGCACGACAUCCAAGGGCUGAACGCACGACGUUCGUCGCCGGACAAAUUGACAGGGACUCAAGACGGAACGCGCUGCGUUCCCAGGGGCUACGCACGACGUUCAAGGCUAAGUUCCAAAUUCUCAUUCUAAGGACUUAAUCCAUUAAGUCCAACGUCUAGAACCCCCAGAAUAGUCCCAUAACAUUGACUUAACCCAUAAAGUUGAAGGCUUUAACCCUUUGCAUGGCUUAAAGAAGCCCAACACCAAAGAUGAACCCCAAAGGUCAAAAUCACCCCAAAAUGUCUUUAAAACUUCUUAAUACCUUAAGACCUCACUCCAAACUUCCAUAUCUGAUUUCAAGGGACUUCUUAAGUCAUAAAGUUAUGGCUUAACAUAACUCAGUGGGACCCAAAUCAAAACCCUAAGUCCUAAACUUCGUCAAGUGACUACCAUAUCAUGCAUGGAAGGUUUAUACCCAUCAAGAUCCAAACUUUAUGACUCUAUAACCUCAAGAAGUACCAAAUAUGAAGCUCAAAGGUUCUAGAGUAACUUCUACUCACAAGAACCACCUCAAAGGGACCAAAACCAUAACAAAAUACCACUUGGCUAGAUCUACAUGAAAGAGUUGUCAAGGUUGAGACUUUAUACCUCUAGAAGAUAGAUCUAGGUGCACAAAGCCAGGAUCCAAAAGCUCCAAGUCAAGCAAUGACUCUUCAAGAAGUUCAUUCUUCUUCGGUUCUUCCUCAAGCACCAAAAACACACAUAAAUCACUUUGAAGCUCAAGAAUCACUCAAAUGGAGGCUAGGGUUUCGUUCUUAGGGUUAGAGAGGAUGGAGGUUGAAGGAAAUAUGGGUUGGAGGUGAUUUAAAGUCUUUAAAUAGGGCCCAAGACCCUAAUUUAGGGGUUUAAUCUGGCCUGACGAACACAACGCGUUCCCAAAUGCACCCGCGUCCAAAUUCCAAUGUACGCCAUGAGUACCUCCCUUGUACGCCAUGCGUACCCGUUUUGGCCCAACACCCCUCUAACUUUCAAAUGAUCAUAACUUUUGCAUCCCUUAUCCGUUUUCAAUGUUCUUUAUAUCCACAAAAAGGUAACGAGAAACCCUACACUCCUAUAAACUUUAUCUGAAAGCCAACCAAAAUUAAAUCCAAAAUUCAUAAAAGACUGAAUUAUCAAAUUACGAUUAUACCCUUGACCUCUGAACACACCAUCGAACACUUGGAUCACUUAAACCAUCACACCCACACCCGAGACGGGCCAAAUUCUUCCUUCCCUAAGGCCCUAAGCCUCAUGACCACUGAAGAUUGGGCCGCGACCCCAAAUAAAGAAGCAAAUCUGAAACUGAAUGUUAUAGUUUCCUAUGAUUCACUUUGUUUUCUAUUUUCGCCAAACAAUGGAUUUAUGAUUCUUGUUGUACCUCGUCCAAUGAAAACUCGCUCUCAUCUUGGUAUCUCUAAACCCAUAUAGAGACUCGAUCUUCACACAACUACUAUCUCUCAUAUUCCUCGCUUUCACCUAAAAGCUCUCUAGGAUCCGAAUUGGCAACAAGCAAUAAUAAAUGAAUACAGUGCACUUAUUAAGAAUAAUAUUUGGGUACUUGUUCCUAGGCAUAUGAGUGUGUUAAUAUUUUCAGAUGCAUGUGGUUAUUUAAACACAAACAAAAUAUUGACAGAUCCAUGAGUAGUUGUUAAUGGUUGUAACUAUGGUAAACCCUUUAGCCAGGUUGUAAAGGAGUCACAAUUUGAACGUUUUGAGUCUGGUAGUUUCCAGAAAACGGCUUAUUCAAACUUGAUGUUAAGAAAACUUUCUUGCAUGGACACCUUGCUGAGACUGUAUACAUGCAUCAAUCAUUGAGAUUUGUUGAUAAAUUUCUUCCUAAUCAUGUUUGUCGUCUACAAAAAUCAUUAUAUGGGCCGAAACAAGCCCAAGAGGUUGGUUCUAACGUUUUGCCACCUAUGUCAUCACUUUCGGUUUUAGUUAUAGUAAAAUCAACCCAACACUCUUUAUUUACAAACAUAGUAAUGAUCUGGAAUAUCUUUUCCUAUACGCCGACGACAUCAUCAUGACCACUUCGUCAGCAUCCCAUGCUUAUGGCAUCUUGUGGUCAUGAAUUCUCUAUGAAAGAUUUAGGCGGUCUUAACUAUUUUCUUGGUGUCACGGUUACUCGGAACUAAGGUAUGUUUGUGUCUCAAACAAAAUAUGUAAGUCACAUCUUGGAACGUGCAUGCAUGCUUAAUUGUAACACUUAUAAGACUCCCGUUGAAAUCGACCAUAAACUUGGCCCAAACCGGUAAUGCAUGACAUGCAAAACCUUGUACCAUAGCCUUGUCGGGGAAUUUCCAUAUUUAACAUUCGACAUCCAACAAGUGUGUUUUUACAUUAACAUAAUAGUAUGUUAAUGUAUUAUAUCCACCUGACAAAAGAUUUUGUGUUAUUGUACAAUUAAAGCUUGAUCAAAAAGUUACAAAAACAGUUAUUUUUAGAAAAACCUCAAUUAAAAAGUUUCAAAAAACAGUUGGUUUUUAAAAAAAAAAUCAUAAAUUGCAGAAAACACUUAUUUACAACUUUGAUGCUGAUGUCCUUUCUAGCUUAUGUGGCAUGAAAAAAAUUGAUGUACCAACAUGCUACCAUUUCCUUCCUUCCGCCUAGACAAAGACAAAAAAUACAACACUAUUUUAAGAUAACUCUCUAUAGACAUUGAUAGUUUAAAAAAAAUAUAUACUUUGGGGUCGCCCUUUUUAUUAUUCUUAUCCGUUUAUUAUCCUUAUCCAUUCAAAAACUAAAAGUCAUAAGAGUUUGUUAAUGAUUUCCUAUAUAUUAAAUGUAAGAUGUAAGAUACUGAAUCAUAUGUAUUUUACAACAUAACAUGCCAUGUCACAAAUCUAAUCAAGAUGCUCAACUAGUCGACAAAAAAGUAACAGGAUUAUUUGGUAAUGUUUUCAUCCAGCUUCAAGCCAAAGCUCCAUUGCCGAGCUAUUCAAACAAUAACAAGUAAGCUUAGAUGUCAGAAGUUUAUCACCAAUAACUAGGGAAGACGACACUAAAAACUUAAGUCAUGGUAGUAGCAGGCUAGUAGUAUACACAUAAUCCCUCAAAGAUAACAAGUACCAUGCCAGACAGCCAAUAGUCUGGAUAAAUGACAAUCAAAUCCUAAAACUCAUUAACAGAUCAAACUUUGGUGAAUCCAUAUCAUAUAAACCCUACUAGGCUAAAAUCACUGGUGUGUAAUUAUGUUUUUUUUUUUUUUGCAAAGCCAUGUUCCUCAUCUCCAAGAGAUUUGAUAAAGUAUUUAAAAUCAUACAAAUUCACUACCACUUGAGUUGGUUGAGAUUCAACACAUGACACAGAUCUUCAUUCAACACAUACUCUUUUUAUGGCAUAACCAGACUAGGAAACGUAAUUUUGUUAGAUGAUGAUAUUGAGCAAAAUUCUGAAAGAAAAUUUUACACCAUAAGAUGAAAUGGAGGAAAAAAAAAGUAGCAAGUUUGACAUUUUCUGGUGCAAAAACAAAGGGUUUUUUUUUUUUUUUUUUUUUUUUACAAAGGAGACUGCAGAAUAUAAUAUUUAGCAUAUUCCUGCAAAGAGUGUUUCAGGCAGCAUAUUCAAGUGAAGUGAGAGAGUAAGACAGGAGAGAUGAUGAGAUCCAUAUAGCAAUACCUGGCACCAGCAGCCAACUUUGUUACAAGUUAGAUUCAACACUCAAAUGGCCUCUCACAUAAAUAAUAAAAAAAUAAUAAUAUGCCACCUGCUGCCCAUACCAUACCAUAUAGGGAAGAAAUGGAAGUCCUCAGUCUGCAGAAGUAGAUGGCAUGCAUAUCAACAAGAAAAAAAUAAAAACAAAACAUGUUCAUAGAGAUGUGAAUUAUAUUGUAGAAACAUACACAGCCAAAAUUCAUAUCUAAAAUAUUAGUAAAAAAUGAAAAAUAUUAUUAUCAGCAAGCAAUGAUGCAUAAAAGAUGUGAAUUUCUGAAGUUGGGCAACACCACAGCAAGAGCAAGAAGAAUAAAGAUGUGAAUGUGAGUCUGAAACUUGAGUCACUCAGAAUUCAGAAACCAAACAAAUUAGGUUGGUUUGGUUUGGUUUGGUUGAAAGCUCCAAGAAACCUGCCAAACAAUAUCCACCAUAAACAAGAAGAAUCGUUAUCAACUAAUUCACCUACAUAUCUUAUCUCAUAUCAUAAAUCAUACAUUACAUUACAACUGCCUAUUCACUCCUAUCUCAUCCAUCACCAUAAAUUCAUCCUUUCAAAGCCCCCCCCCCCCCCCUGCACCAACCAUUCCAAUAACUUUUCCAUUUCUUUAUUCAAAAACCAAGCCACAAAUUCAGUAUUUAUCUCAUUGCUAGUCUUUUACUUUCAACAAAACUAACAGCUCUUGUACAAAGAAAAACAAAUCCACUCUUAACUCUUAAGUCUUACAAGAAAAAAGGUCAAAUAACCCAAUAAUGACUUAAAAACAGUAGCCAUUGUUAGCAUGCAACAACAGCUGUAAAAAAAGUAACACUGUCAGACUUUGAUUAAAAUUACAAUUUACAAAUACAAAGCAGCUCAUGCCUCCCCUCCAUCUGCCACAGAAAAAAAAAUGUCUAGCAACUAGGUUUUAUUUAGCAGAAUCUGUCAUUGAUGAAACAGUAAACUUUAACUUAAGUACACAUUAUUUUAAUUAUUGUUACAUUAGAAGAACACAAUGGUUCUUAGUGGCUAAAAAAAAACAUAACUCUUCAAAUUUGUAGAUUCAUGGACAUUAAUUUCUAUUUUGUCUCGAGUAAUUAAUACAAAAUUUGUAACAUCAUGUCUAUAUGUUCAGAUUGUUGACUAUCUAUUUUAAGUCAAGAAUUUCAGUCGAACUUAAGUAAGUGACUAAGCAGAAGCCAACUCCUAAACAGAGAAAGGUAGGUAGAAAAUAAGGUGCAGACUUACAGUCGAUGCAUAUGCAGAAGAAGUAGAAGCAAGAUUCAUUUCAUCUCAGCCAUAAACUUGUCAUACUCAGGGUCUGUGCCAUAAGUAGUUUGCUGAGUUUGGUCUGCAGAGAGAUUUAAAGACCAGGGUGCAGCUGCAAAACUUUGCUGCUCAACUACUGACUGAGUGUAAUAAGAAGAGUAAGGAUAUGCAGUUUGGGUGUUUGGUGUUGUUGUUGUUGUCCCAUAAACAUUACUAGACUGGGAUGGGGACUGUGCAGGAGGUGCAUUCAUAUUAUUUGGGUAGCUUUGUUGGGCUUGGGCCUCAGUAUUAGUAGUAGUAGUAGUAGUUGAUGUAAUAACGCUCUUGUUCUGAGGUGGAGGAGGAGGAGGAGGAGGAGGAUAUUGAACACCAUAAGAGGGGAUCUGUUGUUGGCUUGGGUAGGAUGAAUACAUGCUCGAUCCAGGAGGAGGAGGAGGCGGAGGAGGAGCAUAAGCAGCAUAAGGAGGAGGAGGAGGCGGUGGUGGUGGUCCCCAUGGAACUGGGGCAGUCAUAUAACUCCCAGGCGGUGGCGCAGUCAUCUGCUGAGAUGGAUACCCGCCAGGAUAAGUGGGCGCAGGAGGACCAGGGGGUACAGUAGGUUGGGGUGGCUUUCCUGCAACUCUUACUGCAAUUACUCUUCCAUCCAGACGAUAACCAUUCAUGCUAGCAAUGGCUUGAUUGGCCUGAGAUAUAUCAGAAUACUUGACAAAACCAUAACCUUUGCUCAGCCCAGUGACCCUGUCUUUAAUCACCUUUGCCAUUACUAUCUCCCCAAAUGGUGAAAACAACCGAAUCAGGGCAUCAUCUUCGAAAGUCGGAGGCAGGUACCCGAUAUACAGAUUGGUAUCAUCGAUUUCUUUACCAAUUCCAAGACCAAGACCAAAACCGACUCCUGGUUUUGCUACAUUGCUUCCUAGACCCGGAUGUGCAGAUGUUCCUGUACUACUGCUUCCUCCUCCGUUUGUGCUGGGUGCCCAUGGUGGAUUGCUCGUGGAAGAACCCAUGAUUGGCAAUGGUGUGCUUUGCUUGGUGACACCUUCUGGAAGGGUCCCGCCAAGUUCUGCCAAGAAAUUCUGAUACUCAUCAUCCAUUUUCUUUCCUGCAGUCCCUUUCACAGGGCAAUCAAUGGUUGGGUGUCCUCCGUCUCCACAGAUCUUACACAACACAUCGCUCUUAAAAGUUGACAUGCGGGAGGGGCAGGCAAAUUGACGAUGCCCAGGUUCACCACACAAUCUACAAUACUCGUCGUCUCUUAUUGUUCCAUUCAGAGCAGCAAGUUCACGCAGCUGCUGUCUUUUAUGUUCAUUCAAUCCUUCAUCAACAGGAUGCAAUAGCUUUUCCACCAUCCCUGCUGCAGCUUCAAGCCCUUCCUGUGUCUCUGCUUCCACUAAAACAUGUAAAUCUUCGUUUUCAGAAGGAUCAAACUUCAAAUCACGCUUUUGCCCAAACCUGCCUUCUUUCACUGAGCCUUUCCCCCGUAUAACGAUUUUAGCUCCAGUCUCCUUUUCCAUCCUCUUCUGCGUAUUACCUCUCGGCCCAAUUAUAAGUCCGAUAAAAUUAUAACCAGGGUAUUCUUUCAUUGGUAUAUACAGCUUCUUCUGAAGCUUCGGAGGCCUAUAAUCAGCAGGGGGCUUAAACGCAGGAUUUCUUUUAAUAAUCUGCGAAAUAAUCUCUUGUCUCUCUCUGUUAAGCCUUUCCCUCGCCCUAAAUUCUCUAGUGUUUAUUCUGGUUCCCAUAUUAUCAUAUAUCGGGUCCGGCGAAGGAGACCUAGCACCUUCCGGACGAUCAUCUAACUGUUGUCCAGACUGUAAAAUUCUACUAAUUUCCAUAAGCCUUGCAUUCAAAGCCUGAAUUUCAGGAUCCAUAUCCAUACCUCCAGUAAAAUCCUUCAUGAAAUCCGGCAACUGAAACACGGGUUUCGGCUCGUCGUCCGCCCAACGAGACUUCCUCUUUUUACCCCCAUUCUGAUCAGCAUCUCCAUCGGUAGGAGGCGGGUCCCAUCUGCUCCGCCUCCGUCUCCUGCUUGUUGUAUCCUCCUCCACGCCAGAGUUAUCCUUUUCCGUAGUAACACUCCUAACGCCGCCAUUAUCAGGCUUCGGAUCUGUUGUGUCUGGCUUGGGAUCCGUUUGACAUACGAUUUGAAGUUGAUGAGAAAAAUUGUGGUCGGAAUCGGACGGCGGGGGCGGGGGUGGAGGUGCUGAGCCAAAAUCAGGCGGCGGAUGCUGGUUACUGGAGUUCUUGGUGUAAUCCAACGCAUCAUAGGGAGUAGGAGUGGGAGCUAGGGUUUCGGGGGGAAGAGAAUCCAUGAGGUGGGGAUGGGAAGAAGUUCUGGUGUAUCGCGUGUGUGAGAGAGGCAGAGAAUCUAAUAUGUGUGUAUUUAUAUCAUACACAUAGAUAAAUGAGAAUGCAAAUUGUCUUGUUUUUCUUUUACUUUUUUUUUAAUAUUAAUAUUUCAAUUAGUAAUAACUAGGAAAGAUUCCCGCGUUGCGGGGUUGGAUACGUCAAAGGAAUGCACAAAACGGAAACAUUUCAGUUUGAAGUUCAUCAAAAUUCCAGCAGGUGAAAAGAAUAGUGUGUAACAUGUGAAGCUCUUCCAAACCCAAGGAUAAACCAAGACAUUCAAACAGAAUAUGAAAUAUGUUAUUGUAGCAAACCUCAAUAGAACAUGAAAAAGAUAUGUUGCCAACCACUACAUUUGAAGAUGAUGGAUCCAUUAUCUGACUCAUUUAAAAAUGAAUGCAAAGUGAAGUUACUGUCCUCAGAAUUAGUAAUUAGUAAGUAGAAGUCACAUAUUUUUUUUAUUUAUCUUGUCAUACAAAUAGACACACAACCACUAUUGUCAAACCCAUUUGUUCCUGUUGGCCCAAGUUCAUUCUAUGGAUUCACAUUGAUUCCAGGCAUUGUGCCACUCCCAGUUUCAGUUCCCAUUCCAAUUCCGGUUCCGGUCCCUGGAGUUCCGGUUCCGGUUCCAGUCCCAGUCCCUGGAGUUCCAGUUCCGGUUCCUGGUGUCGGGGUUCCAGUUCCGAUUCCGGUUCCGGGUGUUGGGGUUCCGGUUCCGGUUCCUGGGGUUGGGGCCCCGGUUCCAGUUGGCGGUGGUGUUGGAGUUGAAGUACUGCAAUGUUAAAAACCAAAGGAAAAUAAUGAAUAGCUUUCAACACCAUAAUCUUUAGUCAUUACAGACAAACCAUCUACUUUCAAGAAAUAGAAAAAAAAUACAAAUAAGCAUGCACUUUGAAAAAUUGAUCAACUUUGAACAAAAUCAUAUACGAUGGUUUAAAUCUUAAGAAUAUAUCUUAAGUCAACAGAAAGAAGCACUGAAGAAUAGCUUAUUUACCACUUAAAAUACGUAAAAUUAUAAUCCAAUUAAGAUGGAAAUAUCAUACCUAGGGUUCCCAGAAUAACAAACAGAAUCUGUGUAAAUCAUCAAAAAACACAUCACAAAUGAUAAUAGAGGGUAGGAUGGUAAAUUCAAAGGAAAGUCACCAGAAGGGGGUGUUUGGCUAACUAUAGUCGUGCCUGAGAAAUAACAGCUCCCUAGAACUUGACGUUUGUUUUCAUAAUAACCAUUAACAGCGAAAUUGCAAUGAUCCUAUGAUAGAAGAGACAAACCGAAACCGAUUAAGCAGCGAAAAUCUAGAAAUUAAAACAAAAAUUUAAUACGUAGGAAUAUAUAAGGAUGUUUGACUGAUAUUUGAGUUGAUUCUCUUUCAGAAAUCAAAAAACCCUAAUCGUGAAAGAUAGAAAUAUGAACGAAGGUACCAAAAUAUUAAAAUAAUUGAUUGAUUGAUUGUAAAAUUUAGCAUCAUGUACCCCGUAGAGAAAAUCGAAGAAGGGUUUUCAUCGGGUGACCACCACAUCUUCUUCUGGGUGCCUUCAAAAAUCCCCAAAUUUUCCUAAGGUCAUCGAUUGUCGCAAAACAGACAACAACAAUGUGGAAACUCAAUAUAGAGAAAAUAGACUCGAUCAAAAUAGUGGAGAUGGCAGCGGAUGGUGACGUUUUCACUUAUUCGAACGGUCGGCGGUGGCAUAUGAAAGAAAAUUCUUCGCGAUGGCGGUGAAGGCUUAGGCAGAAGUCGAAGAAGCGGUGGAUAAGAUGGAUUGGGAAGCUGACAGAUGGAUUGGUGGCGAUGGAAGCGGUCCCUUUUAGACGGCGGAGGAAAUUAGAGGGAUAGAUAGAGACCGGAGAUGAGAAAGUUGGUGGGGGAAAGUCAUGUAGUAUUGAAGCGGUGGAUCAUAAUCCAUAACAUGUUGGAUGAGACUGCUGAUUGUCACGAUAGUAAUGUAGGUGGGACGCGUAGCAAAUCCGGAUAAUCGGGAUGCCAUAACAUAACACGUAGCAAUUUUAUAUGACGGCUCUGACCAAAAUGAAACCCAGCAAAGAAUAUUUAAAAAAAAAAAAUUUAAAAAAACCCACCAAUCAGAUCCAAAAACUGUUCAUCUGGCACUUGUAAAUUAGUAUGUAUAUAUAAUUAUUUUAUUUAUAUUAUUAUAUGGGUUAGGUUAUAUGUUUUGUACCGAUAAUUUGGACGGUGUUUUUUAUAAGAAUGAUUAAGAGAAUAUAUAUAUUAUUUGAUAAUAUAAAUAUGUUCAAUCGUCAUAUAAUAUUUUCUAUUGUUGUCAUACAUUUUCGUUAAUUCUUGUUCUCACGCAUCAUUAUUCAUUCCUUUUUAUUCUUAUAAAAUACGAUUAUCAAAAACACACCCAAACAACAUUCUUUGAUGCAUUCCUUAGUUAUCAUUUUUCGUUUCAUGAUGGUUUAAAAGAAACACUAUCUUAUUCUUUCUUCCUUCAUCAUAAGCCAUAAUCAUUCAUCGAUCCCAUAAUUCAAAACGUGUCCACCAUUUUUGUUACCUUCGACCACCAAGUGUUGUUAUCAUCAUCGCCCCCUUCAACCACCAAAUCUAGGUUCUCUCUCUCUCUCUCUCUCUCUCUCUCUCUAUAUAUAUAUAUAUANNNNNNNNNNNNNNNNNNNNNNNNNNNNNNNNNNNNNNNNNNNNNNNNNNNNNNNNNNNNNNNNNNNNNNNNNNNNNNNNNNNNNNNNNNNNNNNNNNNNNNNNNNNNNNNNNNNNNNNNNNNNNNNNNNNNNNNNNNNNNNNNNNNCCACCAAAUGUUACAUGUUCAAGGUGAAUCAAUAUAUGUAAUCAUGAUUUUUAUGAUGUUUUUUUACAACCAUAUAUUUGUUCAUGUUUGAAGAAUAUGUUUUGGUUUUAGAGUUUCGAUUUUUAGUUCAUGUUUCAAAUGAACUGGCUUUUUUUUUUUUUAAGAAAUGUUUUGACAAUUUUAAAUUUUUCAUCUUAAUAUGUUUUCAUUUUGUAAUGCCCGUUUUUGUUAAUUACUUUUGAAAUUAGGUCAAUAAAUAGUCGAAUGAUUAUAUAGUUAAAAUUAAUUCCGAUAAUGUUUGGAAAAUGAAUUUAAAAUAACUUAAGAAAGAUAUUAUAUGAUCAUAAUGUAGGUGGUAAUUAACCAUACGGACAUUAUUAUUAUUAUUAUUAUUAUUAUUAAUUUAUUAUUAUUAUUAUUAUUAUUAUAAGGUCCGGGGGUAUUGUGUUGUUUUUGGAAACCUCUUAUGUAGAAAGAAAUCAAGUAAGGGUAUAUUUUGUCAAAAGACCACACAUUAGGGCCUUUCCUUUUUGAAUUAAAAAAAAAAUAGUCUAUUAAAUGUCAUUUUAUGUAUCUUUUUAUAUUAGUGUUUGUACCAUAUUUUACGUAUUUGUGUCUGCAUUAGUUUAAGUAAUGUUCACCUUAUGUUUAUCACUAGAAUUCUCGUGUUGAUCGUAUUUUUUAUGUCGUUUUUAGUUAUUUCAAGUGGUGUAGUAACUUGGAAGCAGCUUGAAUCGCGUUUUGGAGCUUAAUGGAGCUAAAGCAUCCAAGGAAACUAAAACCUGGGUUAAAUUUGCUGAAACUGAAGAGUUCGUGUCUGAAACGCGCAUUUACAAAUUUACACAAUUGUUUUUUUCAUUCUGCAAUCGUGUUUCAUGUUUGUAAUUUUUUUUUCGAGCCAAAAAUCAGUUUUUGAGACUUCAAAGGUUUACACGAUCAUGUUUCUCAAAAAGCACGAUCGUGUUUUUGGUAAAUAUGUAUGAAAUAACAACGUACUUCAUUAAACGCGAAAAUCGAGUAAUUUUUAGGAAGGGUGUGGCUCACCUAUUUAAAAGCGUGACACGCUUUGGUCGUGCUUUCUGGAAAUAUCGCGUCUGAUGUGUUGUCUUACAUACAAAAUACCCCCUAUUGUUUCCAGUUUCGAUUGAGACGAUCAAAAACCCUUUCCAGAUGUUAUUUGAGCGAUUUCUACACUUUUUCAUCGAUUCCUGAAGAUCUGAUGAUUGUGGAUAGACUGUCUUAGUUAGUUUAGUAAGAUUAGUUGUUUAGUCUUUCUUUUUAUUAGCUUUAGAUCAUUUUAGCCAUGUUCGGCAAAAAUGUAACACUCCAAAAAUUAUAAAAAAAUAUUUAAAAUCAACCAUUAAUCAUCAUUGUUUACAAAAAGAGUCAUUGUUUUAAAAUUAAAGUCAUAUCAGAGUGUCCCAAAAAUCCAUAUCAUGAAAAUAGGAAGAUGUGCACGAUCAGGCCUUCGCAUUCCCACGAUCCUCAGAAGUACCUGAAAAAAUAAACUAAAUUUAUAAGUCAUAACUUAGUGAAUUCCCCUAAAGUACCAACACACUACAUAACAAACAAAUCAUGCAAAUAUGAGCCUUCGGCCUAAAUGGACCGCCUCGCAGGGCUUACAACCUAUCUAGACCGCUCUUCGGGCCUUCGGUAUGACUGGACCGCCUCGCAGGGCCUACAGCCUAUCCGGAUCUCCCUGCGUGUCUUGGCCUUUAGCACAAAGCAGGAUUGCCUCAACCCAACCACAAUAUGUCGACAUAUGUAACAGAUAAACAUAAACACAAAUCUAGCAAAUACAAAUAAUAAUGCAGAUCUACUAAUCAGCCAUAUACUAGCAUAAUAUUAUCCUACAACCAGGAUACAUAACCUAGUGGGUCGACAUUAGCCUCUAAUAAAUAUCGAGAUAAGGGAAUUUCUUUGAGAAAGUAUAGGAGAAGCUUGAUGCUUCAGAUCCAACCCCAACUCAAACUUGUUUUUUGGCUAGCAAGAAAUAGGCACUUGUUCUUACUUAUCUAAACUCUAUUUUGGCUUGCUAUAAGAUUAGUACUAGUUCUUACCAUCAAUCUCUUUCCUAUCUAGAAUGGUGGGUACAUCAAUUUUUGUUGAUCACAUUCAUGGGGGAGGAGAAGCACUGAAGGCUCUAGUCCGGGGUUUCUUCUUCUUCGAUUCAAGCAAGUCGACCAUAAGGUGAAUCGAUGACCUGACUGAAGCCAUUCUUAGCCACGGUGCCUUCAGCCCACGAGUACAGUGAGAGAAACUCACCUCUUAGUCUGAAAAUAUAUAUAACAGAACACAGGUCCGACUGACAACUUAGUUGGCCACCUAAACACCAAAUACUGGCUGAUCUCAAAUACCACUCAAAUUACCUAAAAUACCCUUAGGGUAGACUUGGUCAAAGUCAACAAACCAAUUGAGUACGAUGGGCGUACUCAUAUGUAUGCGAGAAGUACUCCAGUUGACCCAUAAAUCGGGGCUUUAACAACGUACGCGCAACGUACCAUUUGGUACGCCCAACAUAUGCAACUAGUCAGCCCUUUCUCUUAUUAAGAGCUUCCUCUUACGUCCAAAACCAGAUCUGAGCCCCAAAUGUCAUCUUUGACCAUAAAGUUUCCAACUUUAUUGUCUUGCAUGGCCAAUAAGUGCUUAACAUUAAAAACCUUAACCACUUAACACAUUAAGACCUUGUAACUCAUGCAUGGAAGGGGAGAAAUGAUCAAGAAUACAUUUUUAUGCUUCUAAACACAUCAAAACGUCUUAAAGGACAACUUAAAUGGAUUGGAGUCGCUCAUACUUAAAAUACCAAACUAAUGGGACCAAAAGGACACAAACUUCAUGGCUAACUUAGAUCUAUGCAUAACUUCAUCAAGUUCAAAGCUUUUUACCUCCAAAUUAUGCCAAAUGGUGAUGAUAUUUUGGAUCCAAAGAGUCCUACUCCUCCAAUAUGAUCUUCUAUUCUUACUCUCUCAUUCAAAGUAGCCCAAAGACACACACAAAGCUCAAGAGUGCUAAAAAAUGAUGGGUUUGAGCCAUAAGAACUUUCCUAUGUGCACAUGCAAACCCUAAUGUUUGGAUCUAGGUUUCUCUAAUUGAACAUGCAAUGUAUCCAAGACUUUUAUUUAUAAAUCUAGUAUAAACAUUCAAAUCAUAACAUAUGAAAUCAGAUCUAAAGGAAUACCUUGAGUUGCUUGCUUGAAUCUUCUUGUCUUUGGAGCUUAGAGUCACAAUUGUCACUCCUCUAAUGGCUUACAAACACCAACUAGCAAGAGGAUGAUAAUAGAGAGAGAGGAGGGUGAGAAAAUCAGCCUUAGGGUUUCUUGUCUUGCAUGAGUGCCGAUUUCCUCCACCCAAUGGGUCUAUAUAUACUAUGAGCUACUAAGGUUACACCUUAAACCCUAAUUGAAUAACUUAGGCCCUAAGCAAUCCAAUGAUCCCUAUAGACUAGGCCUUGGACGAUUUCUAGGUUUCUCCAAACCCUAAAAUCGUCCACCCUCACAUCCAUAAAGAUUCAUAGCCCAAAAUACAACUAUCACACAUUUGACAGUUUAUGCCCCUUUAUUCAAUUAACCUCUUUAAGUCACCAAAUUAAUUCCUAAUUAAUUUAUGACUUAUAUUAAUCAAAUAACAAUAUUAUUAUUCCUUAUAUUAUUCUCAUAAUAUAUUAAUAAUAUUUCUUCUCUCAUUAUAAAUCAUCCUGUCAAGUUGCUAUGGUGAAGGCAACCCAAAAGGACCAUGCUCAACCGGGUCAAAUACUUGCCAAAUAUAGUUACAGCCUUAGACACUAUUCCAACAGUCUCCCACUUGGAUAAGUCCAGUAACUAUAUACACAAGCACAAUCCGAUUAGCAAUCGUAGCUCUCAAAGACGCUGUCAAACUCUGAUCUUAUCAGUCCUGUCCUUUAGAUAAGGGAUCGUACAGUCCUCUGUUCAGAUAUCAUGCGGACACAAUCAUAGUCCAGCGUUUAGUUUCUCGAUCUCAGAUUUAUUCGACAUAGAACUUAAUCGAACACAUCAAUUUAGUUCUGACCGGGCCCGACACAUAAGUCAAAUCAAAUCAUCGAGCGGCCGAGAUAUCGCUUUUACCCUCUUAGGAUAAAAGUAACAGAUAAACUUCGACUUAUAUGCAUUUACUUAUUCGCCAAUCAAUCAUACACAACAAUGCGUUUUAUAACAUCAAUUUACUGAUGCGGUUUCGCAUCAUCAAUGUACAACCAAUUAACAAAUAACAAACCAUAUAUCUAGGUUUUAAGACCAUAUGAUAUUAUCAUCUUGCGAUCACUUAUAUAUACCUUAACGUGAUUCCAGCAAAUGUGGGUUUGUUCCAAUGCUCAAAACUAGUUCAUAAGCACUCAUGAACGUUGCAGCAAACCUUUUCUAUGUCUAAUAUCAUUUAGACAAUCUACAUACCAAUUCAUGACAAUCUUCUUUAAUAUCUACUUCCAACAUAUGAACGAUUGGGGACCAUUCGAAUAAUUCAAUUAUUCUUAAUAACUCAAUUAUUCAGGAAGUCAAAACAUGCAAAGUGAAACAAUAGUUAAACAAUUAACAUAAGACAGUAACUUUACUUAUAAAUAAUACUCCUUUAUUUAAUCAUCAAAUGUCAAUUACAUUUAUCUAUUACAAGUUUCUAAAACUAUCUAAUCUAAACUAAUAUCAUCCUUCAGCCCACUACUCCUAGCAUGCUGCAAGUGCUUAACCUACUCAGUCCCUUUCGUAAGCGGAUCUGGUUAUCUUCUGAUGAUAUCCUCUUAACCACGAGAUGUCCUUCUUCUACUCAAUGUCUAAUAAAGUGAUAUUUUCUGUCGAUGUGACGAGAUCUACCAUGAUCCCUCGGCUCCUUGGUCAAGGCAAUCGCUCCUUCAUUAUCACAAAAAAUUUCCACAGGCUCCUUUAUGGCAGGUACAACUCCAAGAUCACCAAUGAAGUUCUUCAACCAUAUUGCCUCCUUCGAUGCUUCACUUGCUGCAAUGUACUCUGAUUCGCACAUUGAAUCGGCUACAAUUUCCUGCUUGGAACUUUUCCAAGUUACUUCUCCUCCAUUCAAGGUAAAGACCUAGCCCGACUGCGAACGAUAGUUGUCCCUGUCGGUCUGAAAGCUGGCGUCACUAUACCCUCGCACCUUCAAGUCAUCACUCCCUCCGAGGACUAAGAACCAUUCCUUCGUCCUCCGAAGGUACUUAAGGAUAUUCUUGACCGCAAUCCAAUGGGCUCUGCCAGGGUUCCCUUGAUAUCUACUGACCAUGCUCAAAGCAAAGGCUACAUCAGGGCNAGCCAACUGCGGAAGCGUAAGGUACUCGGCUCAUCUCUGCUAUCUCGACUUCGAUACUCAGACAUUGUGUCUUACUCAACUUGGUAUUACUUUGUAUCGGUAAUUCUCCCUUCUUCGAAUUUUCCAUACUAAAACGUUUCAGUACUUUAUCUAAGUAAAUGUUCUGACUAAGUCCUAUUAGUCUCCUUCGCAACUGGUGAGAAGGUCUCAUCAUAGUCAACUCCGGGAGUUUGAGUAAAGCCAUUCGCAACCAAUUGCUCCUUAUAUGUGUAUACAUUCCCAUCCACGUCGGUCUUCUUCUUGAAGAUCCAUUUGCUCCCAACGGUCUUACGUCCGGGCACAUUAUCAACCAAAUUCCAAACUUGGUUGUCAUACAUGGAUUGGAUCUCGCUAUCCAUUGCCUCUUUCCAUUUUGCAGACUCCGGGCCUGCCAUGGCUUCCUUAUAGCUAUUAGGUUCAUCUAGAUUUAUUAGUGUACCAUCACUAAUAUACGUGUCCCCUUCGGUAGUAAUAUGAAAACCAUAAAACUGGGGUUGAACUCUAACUCUUUCGGAACGUCUAAGAGGUAAGGACUCGUCAAUUGGUUCAACCGGAGUUUCCUCCUCGGGUUGAGCGUCAGCGGUAGAGGUUCCUUCAUCACUCGAUUCUCGAAUCUCUUCAAGUUUGAUAUGCCUCCCGCUGUCUCCUUCGCUUAUGAGUUCUCGCUCUCGGAAAACCCCUCUCCUCGCAACGAAUACAACAUUGUCAUUCGGUCUAUAGAAGAGAUAUCCAAACGAUUUCUGCGGGUAAACGAUGAAAAUACAUCGCUCACUACGAGGUUCGAGCUUGUCGUGAGUAUCUCGUCUUACGAAAGCCUCGCAAUCCCAAACCUUGAUAUGUGCUAACGAGGGAGCUUUCCCUGUCCACAUCUCGUGAGGUGUUUUGGCAACCUUCUUAGUAGGGACUCGGUUAAGGAUAUGGGCGGCAGUCUCUAAGGCAUACCCCCAGAAUGAGAUAGGUAGUGAAGCACGACUCAUCAUAGAACGAACCAUGUCUAACAAGGUUCGAUUACGCCUUUCUGCUACACCAUUCAACUGCGGUGUCCCAGGUGGCGUUAAUUGAGAAACUAUUCUGCAUUCUUUGAGAUAGUCGUGGAAUUCAAGACUUAGGUACUCUCCUCCUCGAUCGGAUCGAAGCAUCUUGAUUUCCCUGCCCAAUUGAUUCUCCACUUCAUGUUUGAAUUCUUUGAAAUUUUCAAACAUUUCUGACUUGUGCUUGAUUAAGUAAAUAUACCCAUAUCUACUAUAAUCAUCGGUGAAAGUCACAUAGAAGCGGUUCGUGUAACGCCCGCAAAUCCGGGCUAGUUAAAUUAGAGGCAAUAAGGGUCGAAAACGACUUUUCGAGAAAAGAGUAUUUAGAAAUAAAUAAUCUUAACCAAGUUGUAGGAUAUGUCACAAGGUUUCCGUACAUAUAAAGAACGCCGAAAUCCGAGUUAUAACGAAGAAGUUAUUACCCGUCGAAGUUUCGCAUCGGAACCGGCAUGACACCAGGAAGCGUAAAUAGUGAAUUUACGAUAGAGCGAGAUUUAGCCUUAGCGAUAUAAACAAAAGUUGUAUAAUACGUUAAACUAAGAACAUCGAUAAAAAGAACGCCCAAAUCUGACUUCGUAUGAAGAAGUUAUGAUUUUUCGAAGUUUCGGAUUAGCAGUGUACAGCCCGAAAUUCGAAUAUUAGAUCGAACGGUUUUUAGCCGACACGACCUGAACGAGAACCGAUGACCUCGUUAAGAGUAGCGUAACGAGAAAAAGAUGGGCGAAAAUGGACGUCGGAUGAAGAAGUUAUGAGGAUUUAACGGACCAAUCCUGUCUCGGCCUGUUAAUAAUAUAAAAUUUAAAAUCGAGUCAAAGUUAGCCGACGAAGUCUAAACGAAAGUUGUAAAGUACGUUCCCACCUUCGCGUGGAUAUAAAGAAAGUAAAAAAUGGUGCUAGUAUGCGAAAGUUAUAAUUUUUAGAAGUCGAGAGUGAAAUUUGCGAAGUCUGUUGCUAAAUCGAUGACGUGGCAUGAUCUGGACCGUUGCUUGCUGAUCACGCCUCGCAUCCGAUGAUCGCCACGAAGUCUCGCUACGCCCCGCGUCCGAAGCUGGGUACGCCCAGCGUAUUUGAUCUGGUCCGGGUCUGAGAAUGGGUGCGAGCCAGCUGGUGCGAAGCUGGCAUCCUUAUCCGAGGAGUACGCGCCGCGUAGCCAAGGAUUACGCCUAGCGUAGUCCGAGGCCUCGCAGCUAUAAAAGGGGGGCGAGGGUAUCCGGAUUUUUCACACAUAUUCACACCAUAUCCUUUCUCUCUCUAAGAUACUUUCUCUUUCUAGCUCCCAAACCACCCCUAAGCCCUAGAUAAAAUCCCUAGCUCCCGAGGGAAGCCCCGAGGCUCCCGGAGUCCCGAGAAAAAGAGCCUUUUGGUUUCGAAACGCUGCUCCAAUUAAGUUCCGGUUUUCGAUAAAAUUCGCUGUAAGUGUGCUACGCUUACGCAAUUUUUUAUAUAGCUUUCAAAUAAUUAUAGGAAUGUUAUUAGGUCCUUAAAAUAAUUAUUUGGGCUAUUAUUAUGAGUUAUAUUGAGUGUUAUUAACGCUUAUAUAAUAAUAAUAAUAGUCAGACUAAUUAAUUUGUCGCGGUUAUCGUUAGACUAAACCCUAGUGGUAUUGGUACUAGGUUUUAUCGAAGGAAAAUCGUUUUGAGAGUAUCGAAGCGCUGUUCGAGUGCUGAGUCACCACCUUUCAGGUGAGUGCAUAGUCACUUUCAGCUUACACAUAGAUAUGAAGUAUUUUAUAUAAAUUACGUGUUGUGUGUGUAUAUUAUUUGUAUACUUGCUAUCUAUGCUAGAUGAACGUUUUAGACAUGUUUUCAAUGAUUUAAACUGUAUAUGUAUUUUAUAUCUACAAAAUGUGUUGGGUAAAACAUGGGUAUAUGUAAUAGUUGUUGUGUGACAAAAUAAAAUAAUGAGAGACCUUGUUAUAGAUGUUCUUGAUGAUCUAGUCAUCUAGCGGAGUAUACAUGACGACCACGGACUAUUCUAGACAGUCCAGUGGAACACUAGCAGGCUCGCAACCUGUAGGUGUUUAUUCGAACUGUGUGUUUAUUCGAACUGUGUGAACUGUGUGCUCACCAGGUAUACUCCAUCCCAAUGAUAGUCCUUUGACUAGGUCCCUUGUGUUAGAUGUUUUAGGGACGUAAUGUGAGGAUAACGGGAAUGGGUAAUUGGGUUGAUUGUUUGAUGUUUAAAAAUAAUAAUUAUAUUAUUGUGGGUUGAAAACCCUAUGUGCUCACCAGGUUUCCCAACCUGACCCACUCAGUUUAUUUAUAUCACAGGUGUUGAUAUGAAGUGACAUUACACUGAGAGAUUUAAAGAGAUGUAGAUCACUAGUGUAAAUAAUUGUAAGUUCUGUUUAUGCUUAUGUUUCUGUAUUAACGAUGACAUCCCAAACGUUUUAAAAUGAAAUAAAUACGUUUCUUCGAAAAUGUUUUAAUAACGUAUUUACCAUGUUUUUCUGGGAACAAAUUCCGCAACAUUUUUAUAAAAUGAAGUACUCUGAUUUUUAUAAAGCAUAAACAACAUCGGUCUUUUCUGGCCGUGAAAAUGGGGAUGUCACAGUUGGUAUCAGAGCAUUAGUUUAAGCGAACUAGGAAUAUGGAUUUAUUUCUAGACUUAAACUUAGAAUGCUAAGCGAUGAUUGUGAGGUGUGAGCACUAGCUUAUUUUAGGAAUUGUGCCUAAAAUGCUUUUAUGUGCUAAAUGCUUGUGCCUGAUAUGCUGUUAUUUGUUCGGAUCUAUGGUUUGUUGCCGACCGGAUCUGGAAACCUUAUGUGUUUAGGAUUCUAAGCGUUUAACUACGAUAUUAGAACUAGCAUAUAAACGUUUCGGAGUGAUAAGAAUGAUUUAAACGUCAAUCCUAAGUAAAGGUCUAGAUUCACCUUAUUCGGCGUAUAGAUCAAGAUGGCAAGAACCCGUAGCGGAAACGUGAAUGCAAAUGGGAACCGAGAUCAACCCCCAGCGAUUGAGCAAAUACCGGUUGUGGUAGCCGCUGCUGAGCCAAUAACGAUGGCAGGAGUGCAAGCGAUGAUCCAAGCAAUGUUGGAUCGUCAAAUGGAGGAAACCAGACGUUUGCUCCAGCAAAAUCGAGAGGAAGCGACUAUUCAGAUCGAACAGCCCAAGUUGAACGAAGGGCAGACUGAGGAAGGAAACUACAGUGGGACUGUUGGUCAAGUCAACCCACCAAUAGUUCGACAAAACAACCAAGAUGACGAAGUCGAGAGGAAUGGAUGCAAGUACAAGGAUUUUCUGACUUGCAAGCCAUCGACUUUCACUGGAAAGGANGUGGAUCUUUGACGGAGCCUUCCUCUUUUUGCCCCUUCCCUGCCCUAUAGCCAAAACAGGAGCAGCGGGUGGAUUGGGAGUUUAUGCAACAGACUUGUCCUUAAGGUUGCUCUCAGCAACCCUUAGGAGCCCUUGGAUCUUGCUUAGGGUGACCUCUUCCUUGUUCAUGUGGCAGGUCAUCCUAAAUUGGUUGUAACACGGAGGCAAGGAGUGAAGGACCAUGUUGAUAGCCAAGUCUUCCCCAAAGUCGACAUUCAACUUGCGAAGACGAUCGACAUACCUUUGCAUCUUUUGCAAGUGUACGGUUAGAGAUUCUCCAUUUCCCAUUUUAGUAGUGAUAAUGUUAGUGAAGAUCUCGUAACGUUCCUGCCUUGCUUUUUAGUGUUAUCUCUCCAAUAAGUCUUGAUGCAUCUCGUACGGAUACAUGUCCUCAUAGGACUUUUGAAAUUCGGCGUUCAUUGUGGCUAUCAUGAUGCAAUGAACUUUCGUUGCAUCACCCUCAUGAGUCUCAAAGACAGUCAUUUCAACCGAAGUAGCGAUUUCUGGAUUGACUUUUUCAAGCUUCUUGUCAAGGACAUACUCCUUGCCCUCGUAGCGAGCAAUCAUGCGAAUGUAUCUUAUCCAUUCGCUAAAGUUUGUUCCAUCGAAAGUCACUUUUUGGCAAAGGCUCAUUAACGUGAAUGAGCUAGCAGAAGCAUUGUUUGCGUUCGACAUCUACAAAUAGAAAAGGACAAAGUUUGAUUAGAAUUGAAUCCCUAAUUAUCACCCAAUAUGAAAAAUUAGGGCUAGGAUCCAACAACAUUAUUUACACAUUAGAAAAAGGGAUGUCGUAAUCCAACGUGCAAACAAUUUGAAGGUAAGUGAAUGACGAUUCACUAAUUCUCCACCAUGAAAACAUAACCUUAAGUUUUAAAUGCAUUUAGAAUUCCUAGAUUUCGAUGAGAUUCAUUGAACUUUUCAAUGACAUGUUUAAAUCUCGAUAUGCCCCUCUCGUUUGUGACUGGGAUGCCGAGGAUCACAAAGUGGGUGUGAAUAACCAUGCAAAUCUACACUGUGCCUUCAUUGUUACUAUCACCUAUUCGAUGUGCCGGUAAACCACACACGCUCCACUGAACUAUGAUAAACAAUGAAUCACCCUUUGCCACCUUUGCUUAGAACCAAUUAGUGUGCCGGUAAACCACACACGCUCCACUAACUUCUUAGCAAGGGUGCAAAGUGUAAUUUCAUGGGUUUGCAUCAAUUCACUUUUUCCUAAAGUAUCUAGGAUUGGGAAUUUGAAAAACAUGUAGUUACUUUGUAUUUUAACAUUAUACUUUUAAUGAGGAGAUAGGGUUGCCCUAUCCUACCCGUUCGGCUAACGACCCUCCACCGGUCAAGCAAGCGGUGGGUGUGAGUGUACACCCAUUAAGCGCCAUUUUAUAGGCAGCAACCUUAUACCCACCUUAUAGACCGGCUUCGUGAAUGAGGCCUACUAACNNNNNNNNNNNNNNNNNNNNNNNNNNNNNNNNNNNNNNNNNNNNNNNNNNNNNNNNNNNNNNNNNNNNNNNNNNNNNNNNNNNNNNNNNNNNNNNNNNNNNNNNNNNNNNNNNAGUUUUAAACUUUUCAAAACAUAAGGGAUCAAAUAACAAAUAAUUUAAAUUAACCAUUUAAUCUCAUAAUUAUCCAUAUUUGAUUUAUUUAAAUGUUUCUUGCAAAACAAUUCACCAAUUUAAUUAAAAUAAUCAAUUAAUAUCAUAUAAGGAAAUUAUUAUUCAACUAAUUGGUAAAUAUCUUUUGUUAGGUCAAGAAUAUACUCACAUAUAUGUUAAAAUUCGAAUUUUAUUGACCCAUAAAGAUUAAGGCAAGUUUCCAUAAGAAAAACAGCAAGAAAUCCCGAAACUAGCUCCAUCUGACGCUCGAACUCGCCGAGUACCACAAUGGACUCGCCGAGUUGAGGCCUACUCGCCGAGUCCACUAUGGAACUCGCCGAGUUCAUCAGGCAGAUGGACAAAAAUCGAAUUUUGCAAUCAACAAGCAAUCAACCAAUGCAUCAAUUCAAUAGAAACCAAUCAAGGCUCUGAUACCACUGAUGGGUUUGAGCCAUAAGAACUUUCCUAUGUGCACAUGCAAACCCUAAUGCUUGGAUCUAGGUUUCUCUAAUUGAACAUGCAAUGUAUCCAAGACUUUUAUUUAUAGAUCUAGUAUAAAUAUUCAAAUUAUAACAUAUGAAAUCAGAUCUAAAGGAAUACCUUGAGUUGCUUGCUUGAAUCUUCUUGUCUUUGGAGCUUAGAGUCACAAUUGUCACUCCUCUAAUGGCUUACAAACACCAACUAGCAAGAGGAUGAUAAUAGAGAGAGAGGAGGGUGAGAAAAUCGGCCCUAGGGUUUCUUGUCUUGCAUGAGUGCCGAUUUCCUCCACCCAAUGGGUCUAUAUAUACUAUAAGCUACUAGGGUUACACCUUAAACCCUAAUUGAAUAACUUAGGCCCUAAGCAAUCCAAUGAUCCCUAUAGACUAGGCCUUGGACGAUUUCUAGGUUUCUCCAAACCCUAAAAUCGUCCACCCUCACAUCCAUAAAGAUUCAUAGCCCAAAAUACAACUAUCACACAUUUGACAGUUUAUGCCCCUUUAUUCAAUUAACCUCUUUAAGUCACCAAAUUAAUUCCUAAUUAAUUUAUGACUUAUAUUAAUCAAAUAACAAUAUUAUUAUUCCUUAUAUUAUUCUCAUAAUAUAUUAAUAAUAUUUCUUCUCUCAUUAUAAGUCAUCCUGUCAAGUUGCUAUGGUGAAGGCAACCCAAAAGGACCAUGUUCAACCGGGUCAAAUACUUGCCAAAUAUAGUUACAACGUUAGACACUAUUCCAAUAAAAAGUAUAUUAGGGUUUGUUUGGGGACGCAGGUGGGUUGGAGGCUAGUGAAAGAAGCUAGGUUGGGGACUUAAGGAUAUUUAAAUAGGGUUCAAACCCUAAAAUUAGGGUUUGGGAAUCAUGCACGUAUGUGCUGCUUAUGCUAGGUACGCCCAACGUAUGUGACCUCGGGCCAAAUAUUACAAAAAUGCCACUAUGGGCCAUUUUGCAACAUUUAUCAAACACAAGGUCUAAAUACAAUAAAUCUUCAUACUUAGGGUUUAAUUUGGAAAUAAAUCAUCAUCAGGAUGUUACAUAAAGCCCAUAGUUUUCAGUCCUAUAAAGACUUCAACUUAUUAUGUAAGUAAUAAUUAGCUUUGGUUUUUUACUUUGUGAUUCUAUUUAGUGGUUUCAGUUGUAUGCAUAAUGAAUGUUAUUUUUAAUUAUUUUUAGCUUGAUCAUUUAAUUUAGAUUUAAAUUAGGUCUAGUUAAUCGGCUGUAAAAAUCUGUAGUUUUUUAAUCAAUUGGUAACAAGUAAUAAGUAACAGAUCGGUUCCACGGUGGGAUUUGAUUAUGUUAUAAACUGAAAAUCACAUAUUUUUAUGCUACCGAACUGAUGAGAAGUAUUGAGUAUUGCUAAGAAUUUUACAUUGUUCAUAAUGUUUCUUUUUUUGACUCUAUUAAAGGUUUGUUUCAUUAGGUUAGUAAAAAGUUAGGAUUAACUGAAGAGUUUGAUUUGGUUAAUUAACUAUGUAAAAGAUAACUUACUAGAGCUUUUUAGUGGUUUUCAUUGUCAUCUUAGAUAAAAUGCAUUUUAAAUAACCAAAUAUGGAUUGAUUGCAUAAUUAGGAGAGUCACAACACAACUGAAAUACCUUUUUAUUAUUGAAUUUUAUUUAUUUUAUUUCAUUGUUACUUUUAUAUUUAAUUCUAAUNNNNNNNNNNNNNNNNNNNNNNNNNNNNNNNNNNNNNNNNNNNNNNNNNNNNNNNNUGUGUCUUACAUAAAGAGGAAUUGACUAUUAGGUUGUACAUUUAUGACGCAUUUAACAUGGUCCCAUGUUGUCUCCUUAUUUGCAACAAGUGCACAGGAGAACCUCUUCCCAUCUUUACCUUUUUAGCUUUGAUAUUUCCCCUCAAAACACAACAAAAACCUUAGACUAGUGUAACGACCCAAAAGUCAAGGGUAAAAAUUUCAUUUUUCAUUAUUGUCAAAUGCAAAUGUCACUCCAUCCAAUCAUUCAAAACAUUACAUAAAUUAAAAUGUUUAUCAGAGUUACAUCCCAAAAUCACAUAAAGCGGAAAACACGGGUGUGUGUGUUGCGAUCAAGUUGGCAUUUCCUUUCCAAACCGAUGAUACCUGAAACAAUAAACAAAAUUGUAAGUACGAAGCUUAGUGAGUUCCCCAUAACAUGUUGGAUUAGUGUCUAAGUCCAUAACUAUUUUGGUAUGUACUUGACCCGAUGGUGCAUGAACCUUUUGGGUUGCCGUCACCAAAGCAACUUGAUAGGAUGAAUUAUGGAGAGAGAGGAUUAAUUAUGAUUUAUUAAUAUAUUAUCCUCCUUAAUAAAUGAAGGUUUUUUUUGCCACAUGUCAAUCUCUUAUUAGUUUUGACAUUUGUCAUUUUGUGGUAUUUUUGAAAUAAAUAUUAUCCACUUGUCAAUUUUUGAUUUGUUUCAAUUUAAUUUUAAAAUUAAAGUCAUCUACUUAUAUAUGUAAAGUAUUAUAUAUAUAUAUAUAUAUAUAUAUAUAUAUAUAUAUAUAUAUUAAAUUGCAAUAAAUACGUUUAUUUUUUUCUUAUUUUAAAGUUGUAUAUUAAAAAAUAUUUUUUGUUUACACUUUAAUGUUUAAUUUUUUUUAAAUCAACUCGUGUAAUAUACGNNNNNNNNNNNNNNNNNNNNNNNNNNNNNNNNNNNNNNNNNNNNNNNNNNNNNNNNNNNNNNNNNNNNNNNNNNNNNNNNNNNNNNNNNNNNNNNNNNNNNNNNNNNNNNNNNNNNNNNNNNNNNNNNNNNNNNNNNNNNNNNNNNNNNNNNNNNNNNNNNNNNNNNNNNNNNNNNNNNNNNNNNNNNNNNNNNNNNNNNNNNNNNNNNNNNNNNNNNNNNNNNNNNNNNNNNNNNNNNNNNNNNNNNNNNNNNNNNNNNNNNNNNNNNNNNNNNNNNNNNNNNNNNNNNNNNNNNNNNNNNNNNNNNNNNNNNNNNNNNNNNNNNNNNNNNNNNNNNNNNNNNNNNNNNNNNNNNNNNNNNNNNNNNNNNNNNNNNNNNNNNNNNNNNNNNNNNNNNNNNNNNNNNNNNNNNNNNNNNNNNNNNNNNNNNNNNNNNNNNNNNNNNNNNNNNNNNNNNNNNNNNNNNNNNNNNNNNNNNNNNNNNNNNNNNNNNNNNNNNNNNNNNNNNNNNNNNNNNNNNNNNNNNNNNNNNNNNNNNNNNNNNNNNNNNNNNNNNNNNNNNNNNNNNNNNNNNNNNNNNNNNNNNNNNNNNNNNNNNNNNNNNNNNNNNNNNNNNNNNNNNNNNNNNNNNNNNNNNNNNNNNNNNNNNNNNNNNNNNNNNNNNNNNNNNNNNNNNNNNNNNNNNNNNNNNNNNNNAUAUUAGACAUUUUAAUUAAUGUGUUGCCACUUGUCAAUCUAUUAGUUUUCCAUUUUAAAUUUAUUAGACCUCCUCAUUAAUGUGAUUCUAUUUUAAAUUUUAAUUUUUAAAUUAUUGUUUUCAUUAAUUCACAAAUAAAAAAUAUCUAAUAUAUAUUAAAAAUUAAUUUAAUAUAUUUAUUUGAAUCAAUGAUUAUAAUUUCACAUAACUAAUAAAAAAUAUCUCUUAAGUUAAUAAUUUAUUUAAAAUAACUUAUUAAUAACUUUGAGUUUGUACUAUAAAAGUUUGAUUAAUUUUAUAACCGUGGUUCCCACGGGUUAUAAACUAGUGAGAAUAAUAUAUUAAAGGAGAAAUCAUAUUGUUUAAUUAAUAUUAGUCAACAAUUAAUUAAUAAUUAAUUUUGUUGCUAAAGGAUAUUAAUUAAAUAAAGGGGACUGGAACUGUCAAUUGUGUGAUAGUUGGAUAUUAUUAUUGGGCUAAUUGACUUCAUAGAGGAUGGAGUGGACGAAUUCUAUGGGGAAACCCAUUAGAAAUCGUCCAAGGCCUCUAAGGAGGGGGUCCAUGGGCUGCUUAGGGCCUAAGCAGUCAAAUUAGGGUUUCCUUGUUAGAUAACCCUAAUAGCCUCACAUAUUUAAGGACCCCUAGGGCACCAAAAACGUGGCUAAGAGUUUCCUUAUGGUUCUAGACGGUUUUUGGGUGCUUUUCCUCUUCUCAUUCUUCAUCCUCUUGCUCUUGGUGUUUGUGAGCCAUUAGAGGAGUGACACUUGUGACUCUAAGCUUUCAGAAGCCAAUUACAAGGAAGAUUUGAGAUUGUUAUUGCUACAUAACAAUCAAGGUAAGAUCUAAACCCUUUUUCUUAUGUUAAUAUCGAUUAUCACACGCUAGAUCUAGGGUUUAAAGUCUUGGAUGAAUGCAUGUACAAUAGAGAAACCUAGAUCCAAGCAUUAGGGUUUGCAUGAGCAUAUAGGAUGUUCUUAUGGCUAAAACCCAUCAGUGGUAUCAGCACCAGGUUGGUUUCUAUUGUAUUGAUGCUUUGUGUUUCAUUCAUGCUUAGAAAAUCGAUUUUUUGCUCCUCUGACUGACAAACUUGUCGAGUCCCAAAGUGAACUCGUCGAGUAGGAUGAACUCGGCGAGUUAUGCUGUCAAAAAGAGGGAUUCUCAGGAUUUCCUAUCUAUUUUGCUGUGGGAUAAUUUCCAAAUUGUUUUUUAUUGAUAAAAUUAUGAAUUUUAUUGAUAUUGGAUGAUUAUCCUUUCCAAAAUAAGAGAUCAUUUCAAAUUAGUCAAAUGUUUACUUCCUUAUAUGAUAAAUGUUGAUUUUUUGGAUUAUUUGAUCAUUAUCUUUCAUAAAAUUGAAUUAGGUCAUAAUUAGAUAAUCACCAAUUAAUUGUUUAAUUGCCUUAUUUGUGUUUUGAUCUAAUAGUUUUGAAAUAUUUCAAAAUUUGCCCUCAAGUUUUGGAAUUUAAAUUUUAAUUAAAAGUUUAAUUUUAAAAUGUUAAAUUCUAAAAACCUAAUUUUUGAAAAAGUUCAAAUUACACCCUUAUGGUUUUAUUAAAUUAAUUAAGUGUAUAAUUAAAAGAGAGUUAAUAAAUCCAUAGUGAUAUGGUUUACAUUUAAUUAAAUUAAAAGUGUAAUUUAUUAAAUUAGACCACCUAGUGUUUCAAAAGUGUAAAAUACACCCUUAUACUAUAUAUAACAUUAAAAGUCUAAUAUUAUAUAUGUAUAACUUAAACAGCUAGUCUUACCGUUAGUAGGCCUCAUUCACGAAGUCGAUCUAUAAGGGGGGGUAUAAGGUUAUGGCCUAUAAAAUGGUCGUUUAAUGGGUGUCCAAUCUCACCCACCGCUUCCUUGAUUGGUGGAGGGUCGUUAGCCAAACGGGUAGGAUAGGGCAAACCCUUUCCAUUAAAAGUAUAAUGAAGUAUAAAGUAACUAAAUGUUUUUUUACAAAAUUCCCAAUCUUAGUUACUUUAGGCAAAAGUGGAAUUGAUGCAAUCCCAUGAAAUUACACUUUGUACCCUUGUGAAGACGCUAGUGGAGCGUGUGUGCUUAACCGGCAUACUAAAUGGUUCUAAGCAAACGUAGCAAAGGGUGACUCAAUGUUUGUUAUAGUUCGGUGGAGCGUGUGUGGUUAACCGACACAUCGAAUAGGUGACUGUAACAUUAGGGGUGAUGGGUUUUGAGCAUUCUAACACUUCCUAAGUGUACAUGCAACCCUAAUAACCUUGGAUCUAUGUUUGUCUAAUUAUCAUGCAAAGUUGAUUUCCAAGGCUAUGAUCCUAUCUAGCAUACAUGGGGAACAAUAUUAACUUGAAUAAUAGAUAGAACUACAUACCUUGUUGUUGUAAGUGUUCCUUGAAACCUUGUGAGCCUAGCACCUCAAGUGUGAUGCCUCAAAUGCUUCACACAACACCAAAUGCAAAGAAUAAACUUGAGAGAAUACUCUAACACAUGCAAAAUCGGCCAAGCCCUCUUGUUUCUUAGUGUCACCGAUUUUGGGGAGUGUUACAUUGCUUAUAUAGUGUGUGACAUUAGAUAAACCCUAAUGUUCCAUGAAUCUUCAUUUCUUGAUCCAUGGGUUAACUCCAUGGAGCAUCCUAUGGGUGAAACCCAACUUGACAAUCCAUGGAGCCUCUUUUGAUCACUUAAUUAAUUCUAAAUUAAUUCUUGAUCAAAACUAAUUAAAUAAUAUUAUUAAUAUAUUAGAACUUAUAAUAUAUUAAUAAACCAUAUGUGUUAUUUCUCUCAUUUAGUUUAUUCAAUUGCAUGGUGCCAUGCAACCCAAAUGGACCAUGCCGGGUCGGGUCAAGUACAAGCCCGAAAUAGUUAUGGACUUAGACACCUUAUCCAACAGUCUCCCACUUGGAUAAGUCUAAUAACUAUAUCUCUAGUACUUCAGGAACCGACCGGCAAUCGUAGCUCUUUCAAGGUCUCUCGGAACUGAGAAGAUGAUGGUACGCCAUUUAAGAUAAGUGAUCAUAUAAUCCUCCGUUCUAGAUAUCAGCCGGACAAAUACAUGGAACAUUGUCUUGCUUAUUGUCCAGCAUUUGUUUCCCGAUUUCCGAUUUGUUUGACAUAGAACUUAAUUGAACACAUCAACUUAGUUCUGACCGGGCCCGGUACAUGGGUCAAAACAAAAUCAUCGAGGGGCCCAGAUAUCAGCUUCUAAUCCAAGAAGGAACAGAUAAACUUCGACUCAUAUGUUUGUUCUACCACUCAUUGAAUUACACACAAAAGUACGUUUUAUAACAUCGAGUUACCAAUGCGGUUUCGUACAGUCAAUGCAUAACCAACUUGUAAGUAACAAAUCAUAUCUCUAGGUUUGAAGACUUAUAUGAUAUUACCGUCUCACGAUCACUCGAGAUAGAAUUCCAUGAAGUGAUUCCAGUGAGCGUGGGUUGAGUCCAAUGCUCAGAACUUAUGAGCACUCAUGAUUGUUGUAGCCUUGUCCAACACCUUAGACCUCUACAACCCAUCAUGACAGUCUUGAUUCAUACCUACUUCCGACAUAUGACCGACUGUGGAGGUUUGAAUAAUAUGUUACACCAAACAAAAUUAUUCUGGAAGUCAAAACAUGCAAAAGAAAUAUAGUAAACGAUUGACAAGAGAUAGCAACACUUUACUCAUAAAUAAAACACCUUUUAUUCAUCAUCAAAUGUCAAUUACACUUUACAAAUUUCUGGGUUAUCUAACUACUAAAACUUAUAUCAUCCUUCAGCCCUAUGCUCCGAGCAUGCUGGAGAUGCUUAACCCUACUCAGUCCCUUCGUGAGGGGAUCUGCUGGGUUCUCAUCCGAUGAUACCCUCUUUGCCACGAGGAGUCCUUCUUCGAUCCGAUGUCUAAUGAAAUGGUAUUUUCUGUCGAUGUGUCUGGAUCUCCCAUGAUCCCUUGGUUCCUUGGCUAAGGCAACAGCACUUUCACUAUCACAGAAAAUUUCCAUUGGCUCUUUAAUAGCUGGUACAACUCCAAGGUCUCCAAUGAAGUUCUUCAGCCAUAUCGCCUCCUUUGCUGCUUCGCUAGCUGCAAUAUACUCUGAUUCACAAGUAGAAUCUGCCACUGUCUCUUGCUUGGAACUCUUCCAAGAAAUUGCUCCUCCGUUUAGGGUAAAGACCCAGCCCGACUGAGAGCGGAAAUUAUCCCUAUCAGUCUGGAAGCUAGCAUCACUAUACCCUACAACUCUCAAGUCAUCACUCCCACCGAGGGUAAGGACCCAGUCCUUAGUCCUCCGUAGGUACUUGAGGAUAUUCUUUACCGCAGUCCAGUGUGCCUUGCCAGGGUUCGCCUGAUACCUGCUAACCAUGCUCAAGGCAAAAGCUACAUCGGGUCGAGUACACGUCAUAGCAUACAUGAUCGAUCCUACAGCCGAAGCGUAAGGUGUUCGACUCAUUUCUGCUAUCUCAGCCUCAGUGCUAGGGCUUUGUGUCUUACUCAAUCUGGUGUUACUCUGGAUGGGUAACUCUCCUUUCUUGGAAUCCUGCAUGCUGAAUCUCUUCAGCACCUUAUCCAAGUAGGUACUCUGACUAAGUCCAAUUAGUCUUUUACUCCGAUCUCUCAAGAUUCUUAUCCCUAGAAUAUAGGCAGCUUCACCAAGGUCCUUCAUAGCGAAACACUUCCCAAGCCAGGACUUUACUUCCUGCAGGGUUGGAAUGUCGUUUCCUAUGAGUAGUAUGUCAUCCACAUACAAUACCAAAAAGCUAACUAUACUCCCACUAGCCUUGACAUACACACAAGAUUCAUCUUCACUCCUAGAAAAGCCAAAUUCCUUGACCUUUUCAUCAAAGCAAAGAUUCCAUCUGCGAGGUGCUUGCUUCAAUCCAUAAAUGGAUUUCUCAAGCUUACACACUCUAUUAGGGUACUCGUUGCUGACAAAACCCUCUGGCUGACUCAUGUAAACAUCUUCAGCCAACUUUCCAUUAAGGAAAGCGGUUUUGACAUCCAUCUGCCAUAUUUCAUAGUCAUGAAAUGCAGCUAUGGCUAACAGAACCCGAAUAGACUUAAUCUUGGCUACCGGAGAAAAGGUCUCAUCAUAAUCCACUCCAGGAAUUUGAGAGAAGCCCUUUGCAACCAGUCUAGCCUUAUAAGUGUGUACUUUACCAUCCAUGUCGGUCUUCUUCUUGAAGACCCAUUUGCACCCUACUGUCUUACGACCUGGUACAUUUUCAACCAAGUUCCAAACUUGAUUGUCAUACAUGGAUUGUAUCUCGCUAUCCAUAGCCUCUUUCCAUUUAGCAGACUCGGGGCCUGCCAUGGCUUCCUCGUAGCUGUUAGGGUCAUCUUGACUUACUAGUGUCUCAUCACUAAUAAGUGUCUCACCUUCUGCAGUAAUAUGGAAUCCAUAGUAAUGCUCAGGUGCACUCCUAACUCUCGUGGAACGUCUCAGAGGUACAGAUUUGUCAAUUGGCUCAACAGGAGUUUCCUCCUCAAGUUGAGGGCUAGAGUUUGAAGUUCCUUCACCGCUUGAUUCUUGAAUUUCUUCAAGAUCAAUUUGCCUCCCACUGUCUCCUUGGCUUAUAAACUCUCUUUCUCGAAAGACUCCUCUUCUUGCUACAAAGACCACAUUGUCACUAGGUCUGUAGAAGAGGUAACCAAAGGAUCGCUGUGGGUAACCGAUGAAAAUACACCUCUCGCUUCGAGGUUCGAGCUUAUCAUGAGUCUCGCGUCUCACGAAAGCCUCGCAACCCCAAAUCUUGAUGUGGUCUAGUUUAGGUACUUUACCAGUCCACAUCUCGUGAGGAGUUUUGGCAACUUUCUUUGUAGGGACUAGAUUAAGAAUAUGGGCGGCAGUCUCUAAGGCAUACCCCCAGAAUGAGAUUGGUAGCGAAGCUCGACUCAUCAUGGAACGAACCAUAUCUAACAAGGUUCGAUUACGCCUCUCAGCCACACCAUUCAACUGUGGUGUCCUGGGAGGUGUCAAUUGUGAGACUAUCCCACAUUCCCUUAGAUAGUCGAGGAACUCUGAACUAAGAUACUCACCACCACGAUCGGAUCGAAGCAUCUUAAUGUUCCUGCCCAAUUGAUUCUCGACUUCCUGUUUAAAUUCCUUAAACCUCUCGAAAGUCUCUGACUUAUGCUUGAUCAAGUAGACAUAUCCAUAUCUACUAUAAUCAUCAGUAAAAGUCAAAUAAUAACGAUUAGCAUCCCUUGUGGCAUGUUUGAAUGGUCCACACACAUCCGUGUGUAUAAGGUCCAACAAACCUUCACCCCUCUCACACGAACCUGUGAAGGGUGACUUUGUCAUUUUUCCAAGUAAGCAUGAUUCGCAACUAUCAUCUGACUUUAGGUCAAAUGACUCCAAGACUCCAUCCUUUUGGAGUUGGCCUAUGCGUUUCUUGCUUAUAUGUCCAAGACGACAAUGCCAUAAUGAUGCUUUAUCCAAGUUAUUAUUAUUAACAGAAUCAAUACACAAUACAUUAUUUCCUAAGUUAUCAACCACAGAUACUGUUUCAUACACGCCAUCACAAGGUAAUGCUUUAAAAUAAAGAACAUUAUUAAAGAAAGCAUUAAUCGAACCAACUUCAUUAUCAAAUGAAAAGGUGAAACCUUGUUUAUACAAUGCAUGAAAGGAAAUAAUAUUUCUUGCCAUUUCUGGCGAAUAACAACAUUUAUUCAAAUCUAAACUAAACCCACUACUUAGCGAUAAAGUAUAAACUCCAAUCUUGGUGACAGGUGAAGCUUUCCUGUUUCCCAUGAUCAAGUUUAUUCUUCCUUGCUCCACAUUCUCACUUCUUCUUAGUCCCUGCAAAUCAGAACAUAUAUGAAUACCACAACCGGUAUCAAGGACCCAUGAGUUAGAAUGGGGUGAGUUAUUAGAUAAGAUAGUGUAAAUACCUGCAUGGUUGGGUUUAACUUUCCCAUCCUUCACAUCUUGCUGGUACUUUGGGCAGUUCCGCUUCCAAUGUGCCUUUUCAUGGCAAUAGAAGCAUUCAGCCUCUUUUGGGUCAGAAGAAGGAGUGAUGAAACCUUUCUUGGUUCCACUUGAAGAAGAGCCAUCAAGGGUCCUAACCUUGGUACCCUUCGAAGAACUCUUUCUCUUCUUCCCUCGUCCUUUCCCGAUUGCCAAGACAGGGGCGGAGUUGGUAGGAGUAGGAGUAGUAACAACCGCCUUACCCUUAAGACCACUUUCCGCGGUCUUUAAGAGUCCUUGAAGUUUGCUGAGAGUGACCUCUUCCUUGUUCAUGUGGUAUGUCAUGCGGAAUUGAUCAUAACAUGAAGGUAAGGAGUGCAAAAUAAUAUCUAUUGCUAGCUCCUCGGGGAAGUUCACAUUAAGCUUCAGCAAGCGGUCCACAAAUCUUUGCAUUUUCUGCAUGUGGCCCGUGAUGGGUUCUCCAUCCUUCAUUCGGGUUGUUAUCAUGGAGGAGAUGAUUUCAUACCUCUCUUGUCAUGCACUUUGAUGGUAUCUUUCCAUCAAAUCUUUGUGCAUUUAAAAAGGGUAGUAGUCCUCGUAGGACUUUUGGAGGUCAUGAUGCAUGCCACCUUGGUGGCAUCCCUUUCAUGUGCCCUAAAGUCAGCGAUCUCUUGAGGAGUAGCAAUUGUCUCAUCAAUCUCCUUAAGCUCCUUAUCGAGGACAUAUUCUUUGUCCUCGUAGCGGGUAAUCAUUCAGAUGUUUCUGAUCCAUUCAUUAAAGAUGGAUCCAUCAAAAGUGACUUUCCCACACAAGUUCAUUAGAGAAAAGGAGCCAUUAGGAUUAGAGCCAGAAGAAGCAGUGUUUACAGACAUCUGAAAAGAAGAAAAGUUUAGUUUAGAAAUAGAGAUAGUCCUUAAUAAAACACCCAAAUGUAGUAUUAAGGCUAGGACUCAAUCACAAUAUAUUAUACUUAGAAGAGGUAUGCCGUAAUCUAAGUAAUAAAAUAUUUGAAAGGUAGGUGAAUGACGAUUCACCAAUUUCCACCAAAGUCGAAAUAUUAAAAAUAUUUAAUUUGGUUCUUAGAAACUCCUAGAUUCUUUUGAGAUUCAAUGAACUUUUCAAAGGCAUGUUUCAAUCUCGAGUGUGCCCUUCAGGUUUUGUGACUGGGAUGCCGAGGAUCACAAAACAAGGUGUGAAGUAACCAUGCAAAUCACUUUGGUACCCUUAAUGUAUUACCCCUAAAUUGAUGUGCCGGUUAACCACACACGCUCCAUGAUACUAUGAUAAAUAUUAAGUCACCCUUUACCUACCUUGUUAAGUCCAAGUUAGUGUGCCGGUUAACCACACACGCUCCACUAACGACUUAGACAAAGUUUAAAGUGUAAUUUCAUGGAUUAGCACCUUAUUCACAUUUUUCCUAAGUAACUAAGAUUGGGUAUUAUUAAGAGUUUAGUUACUUAGUAUUNUUCCAAAACUUGAGGGCAAGUUUUGUAAACUUUCAAAACUUUUCAUUUCUUGUAGCUUAUGAGUUUAUUAGGGUAUUAAAAAUGAAGACUCCUCAUUUUUAUAACCCAUGAGUUCUUUUAAUGGUUUUAAAGCAAAGUGACUUUUGGUUUUUCAUAACUUGAGGACAAGUUAUGUACUCAUUAAAACAUAUAAUGAUCAAGAAUUAAUCUACCACAUAGGUUACUAACAAUUCCUAUGAUCAUCUAAACAUCAUAAGAUCAAGAACAUGAACAUGAACACUUUCAUGAAUCAAAACUUACACUUAAAACUUUAUAGUUUUGAUAACUUGUUGUUGUAAAUGGAUUAGCAAAGACAUUACACCAUCUAAAACAAGUUUUCAAGUACCAAAACAGUUUAGGGUAAUGUUUCUAGUCCAUUUCCAACAGCUAAAGUCGAAAACCUGCAUUCUGAGGCUCCUACUCGCCGAGUGCAUGAACCUACUCGAUGAGUAGGUUGAAGAUUCACAUGAACUCGGCGAGUCCCCCUAUGGACUCAGCGAGUUCAUCAGACAGAAUGCACAAAAUCGACUUUUUUCAACUAUUUAGCACAAAUAACGAACAAACAAUCCUAAGCUCUGAUACCACUGAUGGGUUUUGAGCAUUCUAACACUUCCUAAGUGUACAUGCAACCCUAAUAACCUUGGAUCUAUGUUUGUCUAAUUAUCAUGCAAAGUUGAUUUCCAAGGCUAUGAUCCUAUCUAGCAUACAUGGGGAACAAUAUUAACUUGAAUAAUAGAUAGAACUACAUACCUUGUUGUUGUAAGUGCUCCUUGAAACCUUGUGAGCCUAGCACCUAAAGUGUGAUGCCUCAAAUUCUUCAUACAACACCAAAUGCAAAGAAUAAACUUGAGAGAGUACUCUAACACAUUCAAAAUCGGCCAAGCCCUCUUGUUUCUUAGUGUCACCGAUUUUAGGGAGAGUUACAUUGCUUAUAUAGUGUAUGACAUUAGGUAAACCCUAAUGUUCCAUGACUCUUAAUUUCUUGAUCCAUGGGUUAACUCCAUGGAGCAUCCAUGGAGCAUCCUAUGGGUGAAACCCAGCUUGACAAUCCAUGGAGCCUCUUAGCCCACUAUAUAAGAUAUGGAAGAUUUACAUAAUCUACCCAUAUAUCUGACUAGUUAUCUUUUGAUCGCUUAAUUAAUUCUAAAUUAAUUCUUGAUGAAAACUAAUUAAAUAAUAUUAUUAAUAUAUUAGAACUUAUAAUAUAUUAAUAAACCAUAUGUGUUAUUUCUCUCAUUUAGUUUAUUCGAUUUCAUGGUGCCAUGCAACCCAAAUGGACCAUGCCGGGUCGGGUCAAGUAUUUACCAUAAAUAGUUAUGGACUUAGACACAUUAUCCAACAAGGGGCACCAUGUAAGUUUGCAUGGUUAUUCACACCCUGUUUUGUGAUCCUCGGCAUCCCAGUCACAAAUCGAGGGACAUAUCGAGAUUUAAACAUGUCAUUGAAAGGUUCAAUGAAUCUCAAAGGAUCUAGGAGUUUUCGAUACAUUUAAAACUUAAUAUCGUUUUCUUUUUUCAUGGUGGAAAAUUAGUGAAUCGUCAUUCACUUACCUUCAAAUGUUCUGCAAUUUGGGUUACGACAUCCCUCUCCCAAGUUGUGGAAUAUCGGGUUGGGUCCUAGCCUUAAUAUUUCAUUUGGGUGAUUUAUUAAGGACUCAAUCAAUCAACUAACUUGAAUUUUUCUCCCGUUUUGUAGAUGUCAAAGUAUGACAACUAUAGUCUUCCCAAAUCCCAUGGAACAAGCUUUCCACAUGAAGAUGAUAUUCCAUGAUUCGAUUGAGGAACACGAGAUCAUGCUUCACUUCCUCCACCUCCUCCUAUUGUUCUACCUAACCCACAAGUUCAAAGGCUUGAAAAGUUCAAACUCACUCAAGCCCUUUUGGCAAGUAAACAUGAAGAAGGAAAGUCAGUGUGUCCACACGUCUUAGAGAUAAAGUCACACAUUGAUAGGUUAAUGUUGGGAGCCGUUGUUUGUGAGGAGCUGGCUGUUGACUGGGUUCUUCAGUCGCUUCUUGACUCAUAUAGUGAGUUCGUAAGAGAGUACUAUAUGAUAGACCACGACGUGACCCUCGUCGAUCUCACCUAUUUGCUUAUUGUUGCUGAAUCAGUGAUGAUUUGGCGCACUGGAAAAACAAAGUUGAUUAGUGAAUCUGCCUUCUAGACCUCUAUGAACAUAUGCGAUGGACAACGAAAGGCAUGCCAUGGUCGAAAAGUUUGAUCAUAACAGAAAGGCAAAGUCUGAAGUAGUUUCGUGUGCUGUUCCAAAAGAGUCAAUUUGCUUUUAUUGCCAAGAGAAGGGGUAUUGGAGAUGAAGCUGCCCAGUCUACCUGAGAGAUUUAAGAGAUGGGAGAGUCAAGACAUUUGGCUCUACUUCAGGUAAAAUCCACUAUCUAACUCCAUUAAGUUCCUAUUCAUUGAUUCUUAAUACAUAAUGUGAUAAUAUUACAUUUGAAUGUUUUGCAGGAUAAAUGAAAAGAGAGGAAGCUUGAUGGAAAAACAAGACGAGUUUGAUCACGAAGAAAUGGAUCAUGAUCGCAUGGAUUCGAAGAUCAUGUUUUGAGCUUAGAAAGUUAUGAUAGAUUUGUUAGGAAUAUUUGAUUACAUAGUUUUUCAGUUAAUUUUGCAUUCUAAGGACGUGUUUUCCGCUGCUUUUAUGAAUAAAAUUAUUUUUUUGAUUUGUCUUAUAUAUAUAUAUAUAUAUAUAUAUAUAUAUAUAUAUAUAUAUAUAUAUAUAUAUAUAUAAUAAAAAANAUGUUAUUUUUGGUGGUGUCAAAAUUUUCUAAGUAAGGAAAGAUUCCCAUCAGCCAAGUUUCAAUUGGAUAGAAACUUGGAAUCAUACAACUUGUAUUGUGUGAUGUAUGGAAAUCUUGGUACUUAGGAAAUUAAGACUAAUUCCUUGAUCACACAAGUAUGUGAGUCAAGUGAAGAACUAAAGUACUAGAACACAAUGUUGUGCACUAGUUAAGUCCACCACAAAUAACAAUAAGACUAUUCAUCAUAAUUUACUAAAAGUCUGGUAAAUGUGGUUAUGCUUACAAGAUUAAGUGUAAUUAUGAAUCAUUGAAAAGUUUCAAUGAAUGGCAAACGAAUAAGAAGAAUCAUUUAGGUAGAAAGAUAAAAAUUUCUCCAAUCUAAGAAGGGAGAGUACUUUUGUAUCAGAUUUUAUGAUCGUCUUAAUGAUUAAGAACCAUAUCACAAUUGAUCCUCUAAGGACAUCUUAUUGCACUAGUAUGGCUAAGAAGAGGAAUCAGAAAUUGUUGAAAUGGUUAAAUCAAAAGGACGAGUCAUACUUCGUUCCAAAAUCAAGUCUUAGAAUCGUACUCCAAGAUUGUGAGUUGAGUGACACACACACAUCAAAUGUGAAGUAGAAAAUUGCUUUUCCUACUCUUGCACGUUUGAGAUUGGUAAGUUGUGAUGUCUAUGAUAAGACAAAGACCAACUAAGACCAAAUGUGUGUAAUGUUUUGUCUUGAUAUAGACACACACUAACUCUUGGAUAUUUGUUUAUCAAUAAAUGUUUCUUGAUAAGAGAAUCUAAUAUGCCAAGAGGUCAGUGGGAGUCUGAAAAUAUUGAAAAGAUUCAAGAACUAAUCAAGAGUAAACCUAUUAAACACUAGCACACGACUUGAGGUUUGUAGCCUAUCGUGUCGAAAAAAUUCUUUUUAUGUGCCAAUUCUGUUGAGUGAUUAUGCAUAUGAGUUCUACGAGUUCUUAAUAAAAUGCAUAAGGCAACCACCUUAUUCAAUGAAAGUACAUUGACUGGAAUAGGUGAGCUGCUAGAUAACUUGGAAGCAAUGGUGGGACCCUUGAUGGCAAGAAAUUAAGAAUGAACAAGUUUUGUCCAUAAGAGUUUGAAUUUGUCACAAACAUUAUCUUUCGAUUAUGCUUAUGGAAAAUUCACAUGGAUAGGAACACAUACACCAUAAAAUCUAAGUGUUAUAAGGUUUCUCUCCUUCAUGAAAACGAUUGUGAGGAAACGCUUUCAGUAAGAGAGAUUUUAAGAAGAUAGCGAUUAUGUAAAUUGCAUUCUCAAAUUCGAUUAUGAUUACGGCAUCCCUCUUCAUAGUUCGAAUUGUGAGAUUUGGCAAUUAGUUUGAACAAUUGGGACUUAGUAAAAUAAGUUCUGAAUUAGUUUAGACACACAUGUGAUUUGUCGAAGGAAAGGUAUGUGAUUUUGAGAAGCUUAUAUAAAGGCUUAUCGAAGCAUAUCGUAUUAGAAACAAUGAAAUUUGGAAGUCAAUAUGUAUUGUUUUCUAGAAGUUUAGCUGGUUUCUAAAUACGUGUCAAAGCUAGUGGGAGCAUAAAUGUUAUGUCGGAAUGGAUAUAAUCAUCAUGUUAGUGGGAGCAUGAUUAUUAUUUAAGUAUUGCAAGUUGGCGAUAUUAAUUACAGAAAAACAAAAGUUUCACUUUGCAAAGUUGCAGGGGUAGAAAAGUUGUUUUUGCUAUAAUUAAGGGAGAGAAUGUUAUACUUCGUUUCCAAUCUAAAAGCUUAGAUCAAGAAAUUUUAAUUGAAUUUAGUCAAGGGUAUAUUUAUUAUUUGCAUUCUCAAAGUUCGAUUAUGAUUACAACAUCCCUCUUCAUAGUUCGAACUUUGAGAACAUGGCAAAUAGAAAUAUUAUGACGAUAUUAUAAUAAGAAACUGGUAAAGUAUCACAUUUUUCAUUAUGAAUCGUACGCUCGAUUGCAUAUGCUGUAAUAUUCGACCAUUUUAAAAUUUUCCAAGUGCCUAGGGCAUUUAGAGGGAAAAAGGAAAUAAAACCGGUUUUGACUAAAAUAAUUAAACAACUGCCAAGGACAAUCUAAGGUUCGCCAAGGAUUGGUCGCUUGUGGACAGUUGAAACUAUAGUCAUGGAUGGACCAUAUUGACAUUAUUAUGAAUAGAUAAGAUUCUAUUUAGAAUGAGUUGUUAUAUGGAAAAUAUGGAAAUGUUUCCAUAUUGGGAGUUGAAUAUCGAGAAUAAAUGUCUAGAUUAGAAACUUUUAUGCAAGAAGGAUGUUCAAAGGAAUGUACUUUGAAUAUGAGACUUCAUGUCUAUGGAAUUGUCUUGGAACAAUAUCCAAUAGAGCACUUUGUGAUUUCAUUGGCAAAGUCUUGGUGACUUUGGCGCCGUGACAUUAUGAAAGGAUUGUUGCAUAAAAUGUUAGAAUCUAACAUAUUCUAGUAGUGGCGAGAAUUUUGUAUUCUUACACUAAUGGAUUAGGAAUUGUGAAAUGAGUGUGAUUAAAAAUGUUACUCAAUUAUACUAUUUCACAAAGUAAGGACCAUAAGUAAACAUAGUGUGCAUGCUAAGUGCAUGGGACAAUUGUUGUUAUACUUCAAGUAAUAAGUUGAUUACCCGAAACAUUAUAUAAUGAAUAAUGUGUAAUCAAUAUGGUGAUUAAAUAAAAGGAGUUUUAUUUAUACUCAAAAUUUGGGGCCAUAUUGGGUUUGAUUAUUCUUGUGUUUCACUUUGCAUGUUUUGACUUCCUUUGGGAGUAGGUAUGAAAGAAGAUUGUCAUGAAUCUAACUGUAGAUUGUCUAAAGUGUUUUAGACAUAGCAAAAUUUUGCUGCAGGGUUCAUGAGUGCUACUAUAAGAUUAGAGUAUUGGAAUAAACCCACGCUCACUUGGAUCGCUUCAUGGAUUUUAUCACGAGUGAUUGGUGAGAUGAUAAUAUCUUAUAUUCUUGAAACCGAGAUGUGUAAGUUGUAUCUUGUGAGUCGGUUACACAUUGAUAAUAUGCAAACGCACCAGUAACUUGGUGUUAUAAAACGUAUUGUUGUGUGUAAUUCGGUGAGUGAGUACAAGCGAGCAUUGAGUCGAAGUUUAUUUGUUCCUUUUACCCAAAGUGGGAUAAAAUAGAUAUAUGUGGGCCCCUCGAUGAUUUAGUGAUGACAUCUAAGCGCUUGGCCAAGUCGGGACUAAGUUGAUGUGUUCACUUGUAGUCUGUUAUCAGUCGUCAUAAAUCGGAAAUCAGGAAACAACACAUAGACUGAGAGAAUGAUUUAAAUCCAUGUCUCACGUCUAUACGAUAUCAAGAAUGGAUGAAUAUAUGAUCCCUUAUCUAAAGGACACGCUAUCUGAUAAGAUCAGAGUUGACAACGGCUUUUGAAGCUACGAUUGUGGAUCAGGAUCUGAAGUCAUAUGUAGAAUAGUUAUUACACUUAUCCAAGUGGCAAACUGUUGGAUUAGUGUCUAAGUUCAUAACUAUUUUGGUAUGUACUUGACCCGAUGGUGCAUGGUCCUUUUGGGUUGCCUUCAUUAAAGCAACUUGAUAGGAUGAAUUAUGGAGAGAGAGGAUUAAUUAUGAUUAAUUAAUAUAUUAUGAGAAUUAUAUAUUAAAGGAGAAAUCAUAUUGCUUAAUUAAUAUUAGUCAAUAAUUAAUUUUGUGGCUAAAAGAUAUUAAUUAAAUAAAGGGGACUAGAACUGUCAAUUGUGUGAUAGUGGAAUAUUAGGCUAAUGGACUUCAUAGAGGAUGGAGUGAACGAAUUCUAUGGGGAAACCCAUUAGAAAUCAUCCAAGGCCUCUAAGGAGGGAGUCUAUGGACUGCUUAGGGCCUAAGCAUUCAAAUUAGGGUUUCCUUGUUAGAUAACCCUAAUAGCCUCACAUAUUUAAGGACCCCUAGGGCACCAAAAACGUGGCUAAGAGUUUCCUAAGGGUUCUAGACGGUUUUUGGGUGCCUCUCCUCUUCUCCUUCUUCAUCCUCUUGCUCUUGGUGUUUGUGAGCCAUUAGAGGAGUGACACUUGUGACUCUAAGCUUUCAGAAGACAAUUACAAGGAGGAUUUGAGAUUGUUAUUGCUACAUAACAAUCAAGGUAAGAUCUAAACCCUUUUUCUUAUGUUAAUAUCGAUUAUCACAUGCUAGAUCUAGGGUUUAAAGUCUUGGAUGAAUGCAUGUACAAUAGAGAAACCUAGAUCCAAGCAUUAGGGUUUGCAUGAGCACAUAGGAUGUUCUUAUGGAUAUAAACCAUCAUAGCAUACCUCACACAGUCCACAUAUGCACAUAAUCGAUACUAGCUAUAACAACUACAUAAACCAUAUCAAUCACAUAAGUCAUAUCAAUCACAUUGCCAUAUCAUAUAAACAUAUAAGGAUCGCUCCUCCCAAGGUCUUACUCCAGGAUGCCAUGGGCUCCCCCACAUGGUCUUACACCUAAGUGUCAUGGGAUCCCCCCAUGGUCUUUAGCUGAAAAGCCAUGGGCUCCCCCACAUGGUCUUACAUCCAAGUGACAUGGGCUCCCCUCAUGGUCUUUAGCUGAAAAGCCAUGGGCUCCUCCACAUGGUCUUACAUCCAAGUGCCAUGGUCUCCUCCAUGGUCUUUACCUAAAAAGUCAUGGGCUCACCCACAUGGUCUUACAUCCAAGCGACAUGGGCUCCCCUCAUGGUCUUCCAUGCAAGUAUCACAAAGACAACUAGCGUACCACAUACCACAUAGUCAAAUAGCAUACCACAUAAUCAUUAGCAUACCACAUAUAGAUGCAUACCAAACAUAUCAGUAGUGAAUCUACAAUAAACACUACAACUAACUGAAUGGUCCGACCUUGGUGCCUUCGACCCAUUGGUGUGGGGAGGAGACUCACCUUACACUGCUGAAGUCCCGCGGAUAAAACCCUAGCUGCUGGAUGACAGAUUCCUGAACUGUCCAUAUCAAAACAACACCCAAUUAAUAAUUUGGUUCCAAUACAUAACCAUAAGUAUAUGUUUGGGGUAAAAGACUAUUUUACCCUUAACCUAACUUGGUCCAAAACCAAGGUCCAAACACACACUCUGAAAGCCCAAAAACCAAUCAAUGAACCAAGGCCCAACAUAUGGCCCAAUUUUCCAAAUUGGGCCCAAACCUUUACACGAACUUAUCUUAUGGCCCAACCAUUUAUCCUAGCCCAAACAUUUGGCAUUAUGAUGGUCUAAUAUCUCAUAAUCAUCAAGGCCCAAUUAUAGCCCACCUAUGUUCCCCAAUUAUGGCCUCUCUUAUGAGCCUUAUCCUAAAGCCCAACAAUUUUCUUAGUCCAUAAACAUGUUCCCCAUUUGGCCCACGAAGGCCCACAUCAAGUUAGUCCAAGAAAUGGCCCAAUAAGAACCCAAACCCAAUUAGGGGUUUUCACAUAAAAUGACGAUUUGGGUUAAGUGUUCUUACUUAACCUAUGAAGGACUUAAUCCAUUAAGUUCAUCACUCCACUAGUCCAAACAUCCAUUAUUGUUGGGUGUAAUUCAAAAUUCCAAAUCUAAUGGUCCAAAAGCGGGUCCCGAAAAAUCCAAAAUACACAUUUCCAAAAUUAGGGUUUUCUAAACCCUAAUUAGGGUUUCCAACCAAAUCAAGAAACCAAUUAAUCCAAUAGUUAAUUUUUACAUUAAUUAAAGUCUAAUCAAGUCGGGUACCACCCACUACCACUUCGAGUAGUGGUNUGGUGGCUGGCGGUGGUUCACAGCGGCAGCCACCACCUCACGGUGGUGGUGGUUAUGAUCUUGGGCCAAAGAAAUACCAAAAGCACUCCAAAAAUCUAUCCAAAAGCACCUAAAAGCCCAUAGCCACUGGAGAUGGUGGCCAGCAGUGGCAGAACAACGGCGAAAGGUGCUGAUGAUUUUCCUUCCAUUUCCUGCCCAAAAGAGAUUCAUAUAAUCAUUAAACUCAUGAAAUAAGUUCAUUCUUACACCAAAUCAUGCACACAGCCACCUCCUUACGGUGGCUGGUGGUGGCAGAAGCAGAUGAUAUGGCGGCAACCACCAUGGUUGGCUGCCAUUGUGGUUGUUUAAGACUUCCCGCCAUCCACCCACACACACAUACGACUAACACACACUCGUUUGCUGCUCUAAACAUAAAAUGCACCUUGCACACACAAUUAACAUGUACAAUAUCGCCACUCAUGCGGUGGCAGACAAUAGUCGAGGGAUGUAGCAAGAUAAGCCGCCGGUUGGAGCGGCAGCGACGAUGACGACGUGACCGGCGAGACAUGACAGAACCACGAAGAGGGGUUACAUCAUCGACGGAGAGAGAGACUUGGCAGGCACAUGGUUUUCGUCCCGUCUCCCCACAGUCACAAUGUUGAGCUUGUGACCCCCAUCCUUGUCGGCGAAGAACAUAGUGGUUGCGGUGCUCAUCGGUCUAUUUGUGGCUACCAGAUGACGACGGCUGGAGCAUGGUGGCUUAAGGGUGGCGGCUGGAUGUUACGGCUAGGGUUAGGGUUAGUAUGCAUCCAAAAACGGGAGGGAAGGGAAUGACGGGUUUUAAGUCCCGUGUUCCUUUCUAUCUGAUAAACGAAAUUGACACAUUCGGUCCCUCCCACUCUUAAUCUUUUCAAAACAGAUCCCUAAGUUACCAUUCAACCCUCAACAUUUCAAAAUCCUCUCAAUUUAAGUCCCAAUCUUACCAAACAGCCCCUGACUUCUGAAAAUCUUUACAAAAUAAAUCCUGUAAAUUACACUUUUACCCCCGAAAUCCAAUUUAUAACAUUUGGCUCCCCAAAACCAACACCCUACUAAAUAUUAUUAAUUUGGCUAUAAAAUAAUAAUAAUAAUUACAUCUCGGGGCUUUAGAGUUUAUUAUUUAUUUAAUUGAUUUUAAACAGAAUGUUACAACUCUCCUCCACUUAAAUUAGAUUUUGUCCUCAAAAUCAUUCCUUACCACUCCUGACACGCCAAAUAACUUGAGCAACACAGCUACAACCACAAGUGAUGACUUGAUUAUUUGUAUAUAUUUUAGCAAUCGUUUUCUUUUACUUGUAGCAUUUUUAACAUUCUUUUUGCAAUAAAUCGUUAGAUUUAUUGUUUUGAAUAUUUUUAUUCGUUUAAUCUAAUUUUGUGUAGAUUUGUUCGAGCAAGAUGGUAUUUGGAGAUUCGUUAAAGCCACAUCGAAUUCCUUGCAACCACGAUUGAAGUCUUGUAGCAAAAUCCAGGAGCGAAAAGAAAUGCAAAACAAAGCGAUAUAAAUUAAAUUUACGGAUUUUGACAGCUUUGCACGACUUUAUUCAAGCGAUCAAACAGAGGGUCAAAUGAUGUCCGAUUGAGCUGAAAAUUUACAGGAGUCUUCACAACUCAUCAAUCUUCGACCUCACAAAAAAUGAGCGGAUUUAAACAAGUUUAGAUAUGGUUUUUGACCUAGUGAACAUCAGAACAGGAAGCUGCCAGGUUUAGCUUUGGCAGCCCGAUACAUAAAGCUUGUGGCAAUCCAUUUUCAGAUUUUAAAUAGCCCAAAUUUUAAUUUCCAGCAGCCCACAUGAAUUAUUUAUUAGCCCAAUAAGUUUGUGUUGGUGGUGGAAGGAAAGCAAGUCACGCAAGUAGGGCAUUUUUUGGAGUUAAGAAAAUGAGAAGGCAGUGAGUGGAUAGGGAGAACAAGAACGACGCCUCUUUGGUUUCUUCUAGUCUUAUGUUUCUUUUCUUUUCUUAUUUUUGGAACAUUGCAUUUAUAAUUUGUUAAUGAGUUAUUUAUAUUUUUAAUUAGAUUAGGUUAGGUUAAAUUUUGUAUUAAUACUCGGAUUAUGGAUGGAGUUUUUGGAGCAACAAGAAGUGACGAUUUCAAGAAGCUUUGUUAUCUUCGUUUCGUAAUCGGUAUUGAUAUAAUUUCUAUCCUUUUUAUUGUUAUUAUUAUUUUGUCUAGUUAGUUUUUAUUUUCAAUAUUGGUUGAAUCUAUGAAACAAUUAAUUGAUUAGGAAUAGUUUUGUAUGGUUUUGAUGGCAUGCUAUGAAAUAUUUUCUAGUAAAACAUCUAUUUAUGUUCAUAUGUCUUUAAUCAUGAGUUUAGAUAUGUGAAUAAUUAAUUAGUUGAUUAAUUUCUUGAUUAAGUAAUAGAUCUUCAAAUUAACAAGCAACAAAUGGUUCUUGUGAUUGUUUUUCUUUCACACAAUCAUGAAAAUAUUUUCUCCAACAUGGUGGUGAAAGCAUUUUGACUCCUCUUGGAUUUGGUGGCUUUUAAAUCUUAAUGCUAGUUAAUUUUCAUUAAUUACAUGCUUCAUGGAAAUUAUGACUUUAACUAAGAAAAUGUGUUAUGAGCUUCUCUAACCAUUGUAUUAACUAAGAAAAGUCUAGGUGAUCUCAAACUUCUUAGAUUGCUAUAGCCAAAUUAGUAUCCAUUAAACCCAUUGCACCAUACAAUUAUGAUGAUUAGUCAACUAAUUGAACUUGUGAUUUAUCCCGACAUUGGAAUGUUUUAUUUUAUAGAUUUUGUAUUUUUUCCAUUUUUGUUAUUUUUGUGAAAUAGUUUUUAUCGCAUUUAACAUUUUGAAAACCCCCAUAUCAUUUUAUAUUUUUUUAUUUCGUAGAAACUGAAUGCAUAGAUUUGAUUCGAUCCCUAUUACCACUACUACAAUUCAAUUUUGUAUGUUGUCGUAUAUAGGUUUUUUUUAUUUGGUGGUCUCGACAACCACAACAAGCAUACCCCCAGCCUUUCCAAGGCAACCAAAACCAACCUGCAGGGUUCUAAAACUCGAAGAUGAAACGAAUUCCUUGCAAUAUGAUCCCCUUUACCCAAUUUGAAACCUAAAGUCUCGAGAUGGUCUGUCUCCCUGACGGACCGCCUAUACUGAAUCAUCGCUUGAAUUCAUUACGCUUAUCUCCCAAGUGGCUGCUCAACUUCUGAUAACUUGAGGUUCCCACUAGAAAACAGAGACACAGAUCAAAUUUCCCUGCAAUACACUUAUUCUUAACAGAAAACUCAGAUAAUCUUUCGAGUAGGAGACUUAUCCUUGCAAUGGUUAGACUCAGACGAGAGUUGCGUAACAGGGUGAAAUCAACCACUUUAAGAUUAUUUAACUCAACUGCGAACAACUUAGCGUAUACCCCGAAUACGAGCAACUCCACACACUGAUCCCAAGUCACUGAACUGAUCUCGACCAUAGACUUGGAUAACAUUGAACACUCCAAACCAGCAAAGAGGGAAACGACCUUUCACUAACCACCAUGUAACUCAUGGUAUGCAAAUGACAUACGACCUCACUUAAAGAUAUAACCUAAACACAAACAGGGAAGCAAACUCAGAGCUACACUUACCCAAACCCUUGGAACGAAAAACUACAUCAUGUAGUUUCCCACAAUUACUGCACUGAAUCUGGCCCUGCUGGUGGUAGCAACCGUCAGGAAAUUUACCCACCUCUACCAUAAUGUUAUUUUGGGAGGUUGGUGAAGUCUAUUUGUAACAUCAUGCUGCGAGAUAAUUCUUAAUUGAAUUUUGAUCGUGAUUUGAUCAGGUAGAGGUCUCGGGCCUCAAAGGAUUAGGCUUGGAUCUAGAGGGAGAAGGCCAUUGGGCUAUGAGUUAAUAUUUUAGGCUAAAGGUGAAGUUGGGCUUAAUCGGAAGCUGGGUAUGUUGGUCGAGGCUUUUCGCGGUGUGAUAGAUGGUUUACCACGGUACGAUAGGUAUUAUAGCCCAAUCCCAUGAAGAUUAGAUUUUCCUCUAUAUUUAAGGGAAACACAACCGUGUUUUAGGUCAUUAAUAGCCUCCAUCUGGCCAUUAAGCUCCUUGGGAGAAAACCCUAGCCACCAUAUUGCUCUUUCACCAUUUCAUUUCAAGUUUUAUGCUUUUUGUGCACUUUUAAAGAUAGAGGAGGUGGUUCUUGGUGUAAUGAGUGAUUGCUUUAGCUUUGAUCUAGCCUCAUAUUGUGUUUCUGGACUUGGGUAAGCCAUAAAUCUCCUACCUUAAUGCUUUAUUUCUUUGUUGUUGACUUGGUUAUGAAGUUUUGGUCCCUUUUAUGGAUGCUCUUAGAGUUUGCGGAACUCCGGAGCUUGCUAUGACACUUUUAUGAUCAUUGGACUUCUAUUAAUAGAGAAAAGGGACCACGUUUGGGUUUUCUUGAAUCCAUGCACAAAUACUUGGCCUUUAGAGAGCUUAAUGGAUUUAGGGUUUAAGAUAUUGCCUUGUGGUGAUCUCUAAUUGCAUAAAGUUGGAAACUUUAUCCAUUAAGUCAAUGAAAAGAACCAAAUCUAAAUUUAUGAGCCUAGAUAUGUAAGGAUUAAUCUCUUAAUGAAGAAAAUCAUUUCUAACCAAAACCGCAGCAUGAUCAAGGAAGGCCCGCGGCAUCGUGGUGCGUUGUAACACGUCUGUUUUGUCUAGACUUGGCCAUAACAUGGGGGUUGUUGACUUAGUUAACCGUUGAUUGUUAAUUUUUGGCCAGUUUGACCUUGGGUCAAAUUUGAAUUAUUUGGGUUGUUGAUUAAGGGUUUACAUUUUUUUAGUGAUAGUCGGUAUGUGGGUUUGAUCAGAGCAAGGAGUUGAGAGUGUAGCAGUGUUUCUCCAGCUUUACGAUUCAGGUGGGUCUUCUUACUAUGCCACGUGUGACCAGGAUGUAGCCCAAGACACUUGUAUGAAAGAACAAUAUAUAUCCCCUGACAAUUGUAUGAAAGACCAAGAUGUAGCCCAUGGCAAGUUGUAUAGUGGAAUGAGUGCCAGCGGACGAUACAUAUGAAGGUUAUGUAUGUUGUAUGCAUAUUGAAAAAAGAGUUGGCAGGUCGGCGCUAGAGUCGAGAACUUUGUUUGUAUGUGUUGUAUGUAUGGUGGAAUAUGUGGUAUACUAGGGAACUCACAAACCUUUAUGCUUACAACUGUGAUUAAAUGUUUUGAGGGUUGUUAGUGAGAAGAGCUCGAUGGGACUGCACACUCACAUCGAAGAUAUUGGUUUCUACCGUUUUGCAAUUCAACUAUCUUAAUCUUAUGGUUUUCAAACGAAUGAAUGCCACUUGAUGGUUUUAAUUUAGGGACGUUAGAAGUUGGUAUUAGAGCCUUAGUUUGAGGGAUUCAGGAACGCAUUAUGAUGUGUCUAAAAUCAAACUAAGGAUUGAGGGAUUUUAUAAAUUAAAUGUUUGACAAAAUAAUAUUUUUAUUUAAAGAAACUCGAAUGAAAUAUUUAGGUCAGAAACAUGAGCUCAAUCUUUCGCCAUGUUCUUGUUUGAUUGUUGGCCUGAGAUCGUGAACAUGGUUUCUUGAUCUAACAUUAAUUUAUAAAUGAGGAUGUGAUACGUAUAAACAAUUGGAGCUCAGUUAGUAAGUGAUUCCCAAUAUACUCAUAACAUUAGUGUUAUCGAUGUUGGAUUAGGUGUCUAAGCCCAUAACUAUAAUUGGUAUGUACUUGACCCGAUAGUAGCAUAGUCCUUUUGGGUUGCCUUCACCGGAGAAAUUUGAUAGGAUGGAUUUUUGAGAAAGAGGUUAUUUUUUAUUUAUUAAUAUAUUAUAUGAAUAAUAUAUUAAUUGAGAAAUCAUAUUAUUUAAUUGGUAUUUAUCAAAAAAAUAAUUUGGAAUUAAUUUAGUGAUCAAAAGAGACUGAUUAAAUUUACAGGGAAUGAUUAGGUAAAUCAGUAAUACUUAUAGUUUGGGCUACUGAUCCAUGUUUAUUAGGGAUGGAGUAAAUCUAUAUGAGAGUCCAUGAAGGUUUAGUCAUUAGGAAUGGACUAAAUCUGUAACAUCCCGGAAUAUCAAGAGUAAAGUUGAAGGGCUAAAAAUGUAAUUGGGAAAGGGCAACUCGGCGAGUCCACGAGUGGACUCGGCGAGUAGGGUCGCGACUUUGGUCGCGUGUUAAGUGGCCAACUCGGCGAGUCGGCGGCUGGACUCGGCGAGUUGGUGCUGAGUGGAGAAAACCCUAAUUUCGGAGGAUGAGCCCUAUAUAAAGGACAUUAUACCCUCUCCCCAGCCUCCUUACCCUCCCUUGAAGUCCAGAAAACCCUAGAAACGCGAUUGUGAAGGAUUUGAGUGCAUUUGAGCCUUGGAGAAGAGAUUUUGGAGGAGAUCUUGGAAAGUUAGGAGGCUUGGAGCAAGGGGCUUUGCUAAGAUUCAGAUUUCCUUGCUGUUGGGGCUUCCUUUUGAGGUAUUAUCUCGUUCUUGGGCUGCUAUUCAUCUAGAUUCAUCAUUUUUGGGAUGUGUGGGAGGUUUAGCUUGUGGUAUUUUGAGUUUGAAGGAUAGAUCUGAGGUUGCUACCUCAGAUCUGGAAUGGAGAAGGUCUAGAGUGCAUUAAAGUCCCUGUUCUUGAGUGUUUGGUGAAGCCAUCUUGUCCCAAACCCUAGCCUUAGAGUUUAAAAUGCCUAGAUCUCCUUGGAUUCACGUAAAGUUUGCCACUUUACGUGAUGGAUGGGUUAUAGGAGGGUAGAUCUACGUUUCCGAUCAAUUGCAUGGCCUGGAAGGCUUCUGUAUGGGAUGAGAUCUAGAGGCACUCGGCGAGUCAUAAAGGUGUACUCGGCGAGUUGCUUGAAGAUGGACUGGAACUCGGCGAGUUGGAAGAACAACUCGGCGAGUAGGUUGAAGAUAGCCUUAGACUCGGCGAGUCUGUUCUUGGACUCGGCGAGUCUGGUCGUGAGGUCCUAACCUUCCUUCUGGUUGAGCUGUGAAUCGGUGAGUCAAGGGAUGACUCAGUGAGUUGAGUGUGAAAGGACUUAGAGUUGUUGGACUCGGCGAGUCUCGGGGUGACUCGGCGAGUUGAGUCGCGGAUUGGGGAAGUUUUGUGCAUGGGGACUCGGCGAGUCAUCGGGUUGACUCGGCGAGUAGAGUCAGUCAGGGGUUGACUUUGACUUUGACUUUGACCAAGGGUUGACCAGUUGAUUUCCAGGGGCAUUUUGGUAAUUGUUGGCAUUUGUUUUGAGUUCAGUGUUUUGGUGGUUGGCCAGUGGUGGAGAUCAUAUCAGUGGUCGGAGCAGCUUGGGUUUAUCUGUUCAGUCGGCAAUUUCGAGGUGAGUUAUCCUCACUAUAUCAACAGGGUCUAAGGCACCAAGGCCGGCCCUUUGUCUGACUGAGAUCCGGGUAUCAUUGUUAUGUUAUUACAUUGUUAUGUUUGCAUCCUGGUAGCUAGGAUGGUAUAUGUUAAAGACCUGGUUAAGGUCGGUAUCCUGUUAUGUAGGGUGAUGCUAUGCUAGUGACCGGUUAGGCCGGUAUCAUGGUUAGGAUGAUGAUAUGUGAUGUGAUUUGUUAGAUCGGCUUGUUGACUGUGAAUUGUUACAUGAUUGUAUGUUUAUGUGCACAUGGUUGUUGGACUGGGGUUGGGUUGAGGCGGGUCCUGCUUUGUGCUGUAGGCCAACAUACCCAGGGCGGACCGGUUGUCCCGAAGGCCCAGCGAGCGGUCCGGAUAGGCUGUAGGCCCCAAGAGGGCGGACCAGACGUGCCGAGGCUCGGAGAGUGGACCAGGCCGACUGAAGGCCCAGUGCGGGCGGACCAGUCAUACUGUAGACUCAGAGAGUGGACCAGGUGGAUUGAAGGCCCGGUGCGGGCGGACCAAUCACACUGCAGACUCGAUGUAUGUGGUUAGACUCGGAGGGUGGACCAGGUGGACUGAAGGCCGGUGCGGCGGACCAGUCACACAGUAGACCCGAAGUGCAUGGCUGUUCUGUGUUCUGUUAUGAUAUGGCAUGUUAUGCGUGUAUGGUAUAUGUGGUUGGUAUUUUGGGGAUAUCUCACUAAGCUUUCGGGCUUACAGUUGUGGUUUAAUGUUUUUCAGGUUCUUCAGGAGACCGUGGCAAGGCAAAGGCGUGAUCGUGCCGCUCCACAUGAUUAUGUUUUAUGAUGUGAUUUUGGGAAGACUCUGAUAAUAAUUAUAUUGAAAACCUUUUUGUAAUAACAUUGAGAAAAUGGGUGGUUUUUGAAAAAGUUAAAAUUUGUUGAAAUUUAUGGUCGUUACAAGUUGGUAUCAGAGCCUUUGUUUGAGUGAAUUGGAGGAACAUUCGUGUGAAUCCAGUCUCAAAUCAGGGAGAGUUUUUAAAAGAGAAUUUAAAAUGGUUUUCAAAAUGAGUAAAAGGAGGACGCGGAGGUACGAUCAGCCGGAGCCAGUAAGUAACCCCAAAAUACCAUACAUGAUAUUUGUUUUUGAGCUUUGAUAGAACAGCAUGCUAGUACUAGGCUAGAGAUCUUCAGGAUUUCAUGAUAAUGUUGCCUGAUUUAUGAUGCCUGCUAGCCUAGGGUCCUCUGUGGGAGAUUUCCGGUGUUCCUCUAGGAGUGAGGACUGAGCGUUUGUUAUGUAUGUAUUCACUAGGGUGUUGUGGUAGUACUUCAUACAAAUAGUGGUAGGUGUGGAAGGUAGUAUGGCCCCGUACUACUGAAAGCACAUGACCCAUACGUGUAUCAGGGAAACCAUGACCUCUAGGGUUGGGUUGGGAGUUGGUUCCCGGGAUAGUGGGAAGUGUCUGAGAUUUUGUGGUGUUUUUCAGUAUGGUGGUCNCCGGGUUGGAUCAGGAGCCGGAGAGGGCGGUCAGGGAGGGUCGGUACCACCCGAGGUUAUUGGUCAGAUGAGCACAGGCGAGUUGGAUGCUAGGAUUCGUGAGAUCCUGCAUGAUGAGGUUGCUGCGUUUUUCCGGGCCGAGCUGCCAGAACUGUUUGGGUCAAUCAAGACCGCCAUGGUUGAGUAUUUUGAUGAGUGCUAUGUGGCUCUCACUGAGACGGCUGNNNNNNNNNNNNNNNNNNNNNNNNNNNNNNNNNNNNNNNNNNNNNNNNNNNNNNNNNNNNNNNNNNNNNNNNNNNNNNNNNNNNNNNNNNNNNNNNNNNNNNNNNNNNNNNNNNNNNNNNNNNNNNNNNNNNNNNNNNNNNNNNNNNNNNNNNNNNNNNNNNNNNNNNNNNNNNNNNNNNNNNNNNNNNNNNNNNNNNNNNNNNNNNNNNNNNNNNNNNNNNNNNNNNNNNNNNNNNNNNNNNNNNNNNNNNNNNNNNNNNNNNNNNNNNNNNNNNNNNNNNNNNNNNNNNNNNNNNNNNNNNNNNNNNNNNNNNNNNNNNNNNNNNNNNNNNNNNNNNNNNNNNNNNNNNNNNNNNNNNNNNNNNNNNNNNNNNNNNNNNNNNNNNNNNNNNNNNNNNNNNNNNNNNNNNNNNNNNNNNNNNNNNNNNNNNNNNNNNNNNNNNNNNNNNNNNNNNNNNNNNNNNNNNNNNNNNNNNNNNNNNNNNNNNNNNNNNNNNNNNNNNNNNNNNNNNNNNNNNNNNNNNNNNNNNNNNNNNNNNNNNNNNNNNGGUGCAGUCGCAGCCGGCGUCGAAACGGUCCAAGACCGUUGAUUCUAGGGUAGGAGAUCAGAGCAGCCACACUUGUGGGAAGUGUGGGAAGGGUCACACCAGAGUUUGUAGGUCCGGUGGUGCAUGCCGCAAGUGCGGAAAAGAGGGGCACUAUACGAGGGAUUGUCGGCAGUCAGCGCCGGUUCGGGAUUUGAGGAUUUAUUAUCAUUGUCAUCAGGUUGGGCACUUGAGGGUCAACUGUCCACAGCUUGUUGCAGGACCGGUGCAGGCUCCAGCACCAGCCACUUCGAGGAUCACGGGCGGAGGUCAGGGUGGAGCGGAUCCCCCAAGGGCUUAGGGUCGUGCUUUUCAGCUUAUAGCAGAGGAGGUCAGAGCAGUGCCGGAUGCAGCUGCGAGUAUGUUUCUUUCUUGAUAUCUUGUUAUCUUGUGAUUAUUGUGGAGUAUUGUUUGUCUGGUAGUCUCGUUGUGUGGUUUUCGGUUUGGUUUUCGUUGUUCUUUGAGGGUUUGGUAUGGUUAUGGAUUUAGUAUUGGGAAUUUCGUUGGUUAUCAUUCAUGGGGGUUAUUAGUGGAAAUCUGGCAUCUGGUUUGAAUGUUGAGUAGCAUCUGCAUUCUGAGGAGUGGUUAGCUGCAGAUUGAGUUUCUUUCGAGCUUGGGAUGAUCAGUGUUGUUAUGUGAUUUUGUGAAGGUUGCUCGUGCUAGUGGGGAUCAGUUCGCGUAUAAGUGUUUGUGUGGUGUAAGGUGGUUGAGGGAGGUCGGUGAUGACGACCGGUGAUUGAUAGUCAGUGCUAUAAGUGGGGGAGAAUUGGGAAAUUCUCAGGAAGAUCGAUGAGCAUAUGAGGUUGUUUAGAUGUUUGGGAUUUAGCAGUGUUUCUGUCAGCCAAGAGCGUAGGCUGGUAUGAGUAAGUGGCAGGCAUGCGGGGCGGGAUACAGACCAAGGGUAUUUGAUUGUGGAGAGCCUGGGAUCAGGCCGGGAUUGAGUAUGUAUGAUGGAGAUAGAGUUCGGAACCCCUAGAGGGCUAGAACAGUAUGCAUGGGAGGAUUUCCCGGAGAGAUAACUCGGAAUGAUGAAUGCUAGUUGAGCGGUCCGGAUAGACUGAAGGCCGGUAGGCGUACCAGUCAGGCCGAAGGCUCGGAGGACAGUCCAGAUUGGCUGAAAGGUUCUGAGAGUGGUCCAGAUUGGCUGAAGGCCUGGUAAGGCGGUCCAGUCAUGCUGAUGACUCUGCAGGUGUUGUUAGACCGGUUCGAGGAAAUGGGUUGAGUAUGUCACGAUGUGUUAGCAUUAGAAGGUCUGGCCCCGGGUAUUGAUCUUGAUUAGUGGAGAUGGUGCAUGGACUCGAGAGUCCUUGCGAGCAGAUUCAGAGCAUGUGUGUUGCAUGGAUAGCGGUUAUGCUAUAAGGGAGUGGUGUAGCGUUGGGCGAGCACCGUGGCACUUGUCGCAGUGACAAGGCGGCCAAGUGGAUUUCCUUGGUAAGGAAAGAGAGAGGAAUGUAGCUCCGAGAGGGAGUGUAAAUUCACGGAAGUGAAAGCGGCAGUGCAGAGUUAUGAUUGGAAUGAUCCAAUUAUGGUCUUUGAGCAGCGUGAUUGCGGCAGUGGUGUGGAAUCACAUCCGGAUUGGAUGACUGCUGAGGUCGCGGAAGGGAUUCCGCGGGUGUAGAGCCAAGAGGCUCGAAAGGGAUGCAGGGAUGGAGUCAUGGAUUCCCAGCUUGAUUCUGAUCAAGGAAUUGUGUAUAUAGUGGUGAGUCAUCCUAGGGGGAUGUUUGGAGGUGUCGUCAGUGUGACGGGUUGUCCCAUCCCGAGGGUGCUAGAGCUAGUUCAGCAUGUGCAUGCGAUUGCAAGAGGAGAACUCAUGGGAGUUGCUCUGAGAUUGAAGGAUGUGUCCUUCUGUCAACCUGGAGUUGAUGGAGUUGGACUCAAAUCGGGUGUCCGGUGGUUCACGGUGAUUCUAGCUCGUUGAGUCGAGUGAUUGUUGUGAAUUGGAGUGGGUGAGGUAUCAUGGAAUGAUACUCAGUUGAUGAGUUGGUAAGUGUGGUUGUCAGAGGGCGAGGCCAGUGGCCAUCUUAAAGCGGUGGUCGGAACACCGCGGGAAGGAAAAAUUGGGUUUUUGGGUUUCGAUGGUUGUGCUUUGAGGAACUUGGUCUGGUUAAUGCCAGGUGAUGCAAUGCGAGNUAUUAGGGAUGGAGUAAAUCUAUAUGAGAGUCCAUGAAGGUUUAGUCAUUAGGAAUGGACUAAAUCUGUAACAUCCCGGAAUAUCAAGAGUAAAGUUGAAGGGCUAAAAGUGUAAUUGGGAAAGGGCAACUCGGCGAGUCCACGAGUGGACUCGGCGAGUAGGUUAGCGACUUUGGUCGCGUGUUAAGUGGCCAACUCGGCGAGUCGGCGGCUAGACUCGGCGAGUUGGUGCUGAGUGGAGAAAACCCUAAUUUCGGAGGAUGAGCCUUAUAUAAAGGACAUUAUACCCUAUCCCCAGCCUCCUUACCCUCCCUUGAAGUCCAGAAAACCCUACUAACGCGAUUGUGAAGGAUUUGAGUGCAUUUGAGCCUUGGAAAGGAGAUUUGGAGGAAGAUCUUGGAAAGUUAGGAGGCUUGGAGCAAGGGGCUUUGCUUAGAUUCAGAUUUCCUUGCUGUUGGGGCUUCCUUUUGAGGUAUUAUCUCGUUCUUGGGCUGCUAUUCAUCUAGAUUCAUCAUUUUGGGAUGUGUGGGAGGUUUAGCUUGUGGUAUUUUGAGUUUGACGGAUAGAUCUGAGGUUGCUACCUCAGAUCUGGAAUGAAGAAGGUCUAGAGUGCAUUAAAGUCCCUGUUCUUGAGUGUUUGGUGAAGCCAUCUUGUCCCAAACCCUAGCCCUAGAGUGUAAAAUGCCUAGAUCUCCUUGGAUUCACAUAAAGUUUGCCACUUUACGUGAUGGAUAUUGGAUGGGUUGUAGGAGGGUAGAUCUACGUUUCGGAUCAAUUGCAUGGCCUGGAAGGCUUCUGUAUGGGAUGAGAUCUAGAGGCACUCGGCGAGUCAUAAAGGUGUACUCGGCGAGUUGCUUGAAGAUGGACUGGAACUCGGCGAGUUGGAAGAACAACUCGGAGUUUAGGUUGAAGAUAGCCUUAGACUCGACGAGUCUGUUCUUGGACACGGCGAGUCUGGUCGCAAGGUCUUAAUCCUUCUUCAGGGUGAGCUUGUGUAACAGUGAGUCAAGGGAUGAAUUGGUGAGUCGAGUGAGGAAGGACUCAGAGUUGUUGGACUCGGCGAGUCUCGGGGUGACUCGGUGAGUUGAGUCGCGAAUUGUGGGAAAUUAUGAUCAUGGGGACUCGGUGAGUAGAGUCAGUUAGGGGUUGACUUUGUCUUGUCUUUGACCAGGGUUAACCAGUUGAUUCCAUGGGCAUUUUGGUAAUUGUUAGCUUUUGUUUUGAGUUCAGAGUCUUGGUGUUGGCUAGUGUUGGAGAUCGUAUCAGUGGUUGGAGUAGCUUGGGUUUAUCUGUUCAGUCGGCAAUUUCGAGGUGAGUUAUCUGUUAGAUUAGUGUCUAAGUCCAUAACUAUUUUGGUAUGUACUUGACCCGAUGGUGCAUGGUCCUUUUGGGUUGCCUUCACCAAAGCAACUUGAUUGGAGAAAUAAAUAAAGAGAGAGAGGUUAUUAUGAUUUAUUAAUAUGUUAUAAGAAUAAUAUAUUAAAGGAGAAAUCAUAUUUGUUUAAUUAAUAUUGGUCAAUAAUUAAUUAAGAAUUAAUUUUGUGAUCAAGUGUAAUUAAUUAAACUAGAGGGGCUGAAUUGUAAUUAUGUGAUAGUUACAAAAUAAGGUAAGGAUUAUCUUAUAUAUAUGGUGAACGAAUUUGAGGUGUAAAUCCCUUAGAAUUCGACUAGGAUAAGGAUUUCUAGGACUUAUCUUAUGGUUGCUUGGUGGACAAGCAACUAGAUAAGGAUAAGGACUAAAACCCUAAUCUUUACACCUAUAUAAACCCCCUAGGGCUUAGGAAUUCGUCCAACCCUUCCCAAGAGGUCCUAAGGACGAAUUCUAACCUCCCUCCUCUCUCUUUAUACCUUCUCCACUUGCUUAUGGUGUUUGUAAGCCAUUAGAGGAGUGACACUUGUGACUCUCAGCUUUCCAAGGUCAAUUCAAGGAGGAAUUGGAUUGUUAUUGCUAUAUAACAAUCAAGGUAUGUUCUUAAACCUAAUUACAUGUGAAUUCUGAUUUCCAUAUGCUAGAAUUAGGGUUCAAAGUCUUGGAUUCAAAGUAUGUACAAUAGAGAAACCUAGAUCCAAGCUUUAGGGUUUGUAUGAGCACAUAGGAUGUCUUAUGACCAAAACCCAUCAGUGGUAUCAGAGCCAUGAUUGGUUUCUAUUGUAUUGAUGCUUGAUGUAACUGAAAAUCGUGUUUUGGCCUCACUGUUCGACCUGACUCGGCGAGUCACUCUUGGACUCGGCGAGUCAGCCCUACUCGGCGAGUUCCAGAGGGUGACUCGGCGAGUCGGUGCGUCAGACAGUGCUUAUCUCGGGAUUUCUUGCUGUUUUUGCAUUGGGAUAAUUACCUUAUCAUGUUAGAUUAAUAUUAAUCCGAUUAUAUGAUAUAUUUGACUAUAUUUUUAAUCUAAUUGAAGAUAUUUAUCAAUUAAUAAGAUAAUUGUUUCCUUAUAAGAUAAUUGAUUAAUUAUUUUAAGUAAAUUGAUAAAUUAUUUUGCAAGAAAUCAUCAAAUAUGGAUAAUUAUGUGAUUAAAUGUUAAUUUGAAUUAUUUGUUAUUUGAUCCUUGUUGUUGUGAAAAGUUUCAUAUUUGGCCCUUUAGGUUUUAUAGUUUAAAUUUGAACCCCAAAAGUUUUGUUGUUUUGAAAUUUAAAUAGUUGAAACCCUAAUGUUUUGAAAAAGGUUUCAAAACUUGCCCUCAAGUUUUGGAAUUUAAAUUUUGAUUAAAUAGUUUAAUUUUGAUGCAUAUUUAAAUUCUAAACCCUAAUGUGUUGAAAUGUUUCAAAACUUGCCCUCAAGUUUUGGAAUUUAAAAGUUGAUUAAAAGUUUAAUUAGGAAUGUUAAAUUCUAAAACUCUAGUAUAGUUUUGAAAAAGUUCAAAUCACACCCUUAUGGUUUUAUUAAUUAAUUAAGGUGUAUAAUUAAAAGAGGUUUAAUAAAUCCAUAAAAGUUUAGGUUUACAAUUUAAUUGAAUUAAAAGUAUAAUUGUUAAAUUAGACCACCUAGUAUUUUAAAAGUAUAAAAUACACCCUAUACUAUAUAUAACAUUAAAAGUCUAACAUUAUAUAUAUGUAUGAGUAAAAGUCAGUCUUACCGUUAGUAGGCCUCAUUCACGAAGCUGGUCUAUAAGGGGUGUUUAAGGAAAUUGCCUAUAAAAUGGCGAUUGAAUGGGUAUCCACUCUUACCCACCGCACUCUUGACUAGUGGAGGGUCGUUAGCCGAACGGGUAGGAUAGGACGAAACCUUCCAUUAUAAGUAUAAUGAAUUAUUAAAGUAACUAAAUGUUUUCAUAAAAUUCCCAAUCUUAGUUACUUAGGCAAAAGUGAAUUGAUGCAAUUCCAUGAAAUUACACUUUGUGCCCUUGCGAAGACGUUAGUGGAGCGUGUGUGGUUUACCGGCACACUAAAUGGUUCUAAGCAAAGGUAGCAAAGGGUGACUCAAUGUUUGUCAUAGUUCGGUGGAGCGUGUGUGGUUUACCGGCACAUCGAAUAGGUGACUGUAACAUGUGAGGGCACCAUGUAAGUUUGCAUGGUUAUUCACACCCGCUUUGUGAUCCUCGGCAUCCCAGUCACAAACAAGAGGGGCAUAUCGAGAUUUAAACAUGCCAUUGAAAGUUCAAUGAAUCUCAAAGGAUCUAGGAGUUUUCAUAGAUUUAAAACUUAAAUUUCUUUUUCGUUUUUCAUGGUGGAAAUUAGUGAAUCGUCAUUCACUUACCUUCAAAUAUUCUGCAAUUAGGGUUACGGCAUCCCUCUCCCGAGUUGUAGAAUAUUGUGUUGGGUCCUAGCCUUAGUAUCUCAUUUGGGUGAUUUACUAAGGACUCAAUCAAUCAACUAACUUGAAUUCGUUUUCUCCCGUUUUGUAGAUGUCAAAGUUCGACAACUAUGGUCUUCCCAAAUCCCGUGGAACAAGCAUUCCACAUGAAGAUGAUAUUCCACGAUUCGAUCGAGGAACAAGAAAUCAUGCUUCACUUCCUCCUCCUCCUCCAAUUAUUCUCCCUAACCCACAAGUUCAAAGGCUUGAAAAGUUCAAGAUCACUCAAGCCCUUUUGGCAAGUAAACAUAAAGAAGGAAAGUCGGUGUGUGCACACGUCCUAGGGAUGAAGUCACACAUUGAUAGGUUAAGAAUGUUGGGAUCCGUUGUCUGUGAGGAAAUGGCUGUUGAUUGGGUUCUUCAGUCACUUCCUAACUCAUAUAGUGAGUUCGUAAGAGAGUACUAUAUGAUGAACCGCGACGUGACCCUUAUAGAUCUCACCUAUAUGCUUAUUGCUGCUGAAUCAGCAAUGGUUUGGCGCAAUAGAAAAGCAAAGUUGAUUGGUGAAUCUGCCUUCAAGACCUCUAUGGAUAUAGACAAUGGCAACGAAAGACAUGCUAUGAUCGAAAAGUUUGAUCAUAAGAGAAAGGCAAUGUCUGAAGUAGUUCCAUGUCAUGUUCCAAAAGAGUCAAUUUGCUUUUAUUGCCAAGAGAAAGGGCAUUGGAGACGAAGCUGCCCCAUUUACCUAAGAGAUCUAAGAGAUGGGAGAGUCGAAACGUAUGGCUCUAAUAUAGGUAAAAUCCAUUAACUAACUCUUUUAAGCUUCUAUUCUAGAUUCUUAAUACAUAAUGUGAUAAGAUUACAAUUGAUGUUUUGUAGGAUCGAAGAAAAGAAAGGAAGCUUAAGGGAAGAAGUGAGCAGAAUCUAACCGUGAAGGAAUGGAUUUCGAUCGCAUUUCUCGAAGAUUAGAUUCUUGAGCUACUACUUAGAGUUAGAAUUAGAUUGCUAAGAAAGAUGUAUUAGCAUAGUUUUUCAAUGAAUUGCAUUGUAAGGACAAAUUUUUUCCGCAAUAAAAUAAAUUUUGAUUUUAUAUUAUUUAUUUAUCCUUGCAAUGGCGUAUAUGAAAAAUUGAUGUUUGAAUGUUUCUAUUAUUAGCAAUAAUGGAUUUGGUUCUUAUUAUGUUAUUUAUGGAAAGUCGAGAGUUUACCAAAUAGGGAGAGUUUCUCAUCGCCCAAGUUUCAAUUGGACAGAAACUUGGAAUCAUGCAACUUGGUUGCACGAUGAAUGAGAAAUUUCAUAUUUGGAAAUUAGACUAAUUCAUUGACAAAGUGUCAAGUGAAGGACUAGGAGAUCGAGUACACAAAGUUGCGUGUUGAUCAAGUCCACCAUAAGAGUAACAAAGAUAUUCGUCAUGAUUUACUAAAGGUUUAGUAAAUAUGAUUAUACUUACAAGAUUAAGUGUAAUUCUGAAUUGAUUGAAAAAGUUUAAAUCAAUAGCAGAACGAAUAAGAAGAAUCAAGUAGGCAGAAAGAUAAAAGUUUCUCCAUUCUAAGAAGAAGGGAGAGUACCUUUUAUGCUUUAUGAUAGGUCUUAAUGAUUAAGAACCAUAUCUCAAUUGAUCCUCUAAGUGAGUCUUAGUACAAUUGUAUGUCUAAGAAGAGGAAUCAAGAAUUGAAGAAAUGGUUAAAUCAAGAAGUCAAUCAUACUUCGUUCCAAAACAAGUCUUAGAGUUAAGAUUGUGACAUUGAGUGGAAAGUAUUAAGAAGGUUUAUAACAUUCAUCAAAUGUGGAAAGUUGUGAUGUCUUGGAUAAGACAAAGACCAACUAGGACCAAUUUAUGAAGUGUUUUGAUAAAAACUACACUAACUCUUGAAUAUUUGUUUGUCAAGAAAUGUUUAUUGACAAGAGAAUCUUAUAUGUCAAGGAGUCAGUGGGAGUCUUAAUGGUCUUGAAAGGUUUCAAGAACAAAUCAAAUAAACCUUAUCGAUCAUCACUAGCACACGAGUUGAGGUUUACAACCUAUCGUGUUGACAUUAUUUUGUUUCUGUGCUAUUUCAAUUGAGUUAAUUAUGCAUGUGAGUUCUCAUUUUGAACGCAUAAAUGGCAAAUCACCUCAAUAGAUGAAAGGUACAUUGAUAGGAAAGGGUGAGUUGCUUAACUACUUGGAAGACAUGGUGGGCAGCUGUGCUACCAUAAGGCAAGAAAUCAAGAUUAAGAAAGUUCGGUCCAUAUGAGUUUGAAUUUGUCGUAAACUUUAGUUUUAACAAAUUCACAUGGAUAGGAACACAUACACCGUUUAAAUCUAAGUGUCAUAAGAUUUCCUCCUUCAUGAAAAUGAUUGUGAGGAAAUGCUUUCACUAAGAAAGAUUUUAAGAAGAUAGUGAUUGUAAAAUUGCAUUCUCGAAUUCAAUUAUGGUUACGGCAUCCCUUUCCAUAAUUUGAAUUGUGAGGUUUGGCAAUUAGUCUUAAUUGUUUAGACACACAUAUGAACUAUCGAAGGCAAAGGUGUAUAAGUUCAAGAAGCCUUGAUAAAAGAUUAUCAAAGCACUAAGUAUUAGAAACAUGAACUUAAGAAAUUCAAUAAGCAUUGUUUUUCUGAAAGUUAAGAUGUUUAUGAAUACAUGUCGAAGCUAGUGGGAGCAUAAGUGUUAUGUUUUAUAAUAAUCAUCAUGAUAGUGGGAGCAUAAAAGUUAUGAUUGUAUGAUUAUUAAGGAAAGUAUUGCAAGGUUAGCAAUAUUAAUUAUAGAAAACAAGAGUCAUACUUUGCAAAGUCGUAAGAGUUGAAAAGUUGUUUUGCUAUAAUUAAGGGAGAGAAUAUUAUGCUUCAUUUCAAAUCUAAAGGCUUAGGUUGUGGAAUGUUAAUAAAAUUUAGUCAAAGGUACAUAGUGUGUUCUUAAAAUUUCGAUUAUGAUUACGGCAUUCCUCUUCACAAUUCGAAUUUUGAGAACAUAGCAAAUAAAACAUUAUGCGUCGUGUCCCAUACGCUUCGGGUAUAGGAUCGAUUGCAAAUGCUUUAAUGUUUGACCAUUCUAAAAUUUUCCAAAUGUCGAGCGCAUUUAGAGGGAAAAGGGACUAGAAUUGGUUUUGACUAAAAUAAUUAAACAACUAUCAAAGGACAAUCCAAAGUUCGACGAGGAUUGGUCGCUUGUGAGUAGUUGGAAGUAUAGUAUUGGAAAAUAUGGAAAUGUUUCCAUAUUGGAUGGACCAUAUCGACAUCAUUACGAAUAGAUAAGAUUCUAUUAAGAAUGAGUUGUCAUAUGGAAAAUAUGGAAGCGUGUCCAUAUUGGGAAUUGAAUAUUGAAAAUCUAUGUCUAGAUUAGAAACU
This 65247-nucleotide long non-coding RNA is filed under the name Lactuca sativa (garden lettuce). RNAcentral describes it as "long non-coding RNA (LSAT_LNC002062)". Lineage: Eukaryota; Viridiplantae; Streptophyta; Magnoliopsida; Asterales; Asteraceae. The record is from RNAcentral.